Molecule: long non-coding RNA, 80882 nt
Filed under: Setaria italica (foxtail millet)
Lineage: Eukaryota; Viridiplantae; Streptophyta; Magnoliopsida; Poales; Poaceae
Description: long non-coding RNA (SITA_LNC004628)
Source: RNAcentral
UGGAAUAACAAGUAGGGACACUGCAACUAAUCUACUCUGCUCGUCCAGUCCCUAGCCUAUAAAUAGAUGCCAUGCUAGCUCUUGUUGUGCUCACAGUUAAUCCGAUUACACACGAGCUCCUCUCCCUAGCCAAGACACAAUCAUAGUAUGAUGAAGAACAUGGCACUAGCCGGCAAUGGUAUGAAGAAGUUAAUCCUCGCUGUUCUCUUACUGUGUCUAGUUAUAGGGCAGAUACAAGUGGAAGCUAAGAGCUGCUGCCCAUCCACCACUGCAAGAAAUGUCUACAAUACCUGCCGUUUGACGGGUGCAUCCCGUCCAAUGUGUGCAAAACUGUCAGGCUGCCAAAUUAUCAGCGGGAACAAAUGCAAGCCCCCUAACGACCACCUCACCCUUGACCCGGACACUGGUAAAUAAUAAAUUUAUCUCACUUGAUUUCUUUGUGUUUUGAGUCGUUAAUGUAUUUUCCAUCUGAUGAAACGCAUUGGUUUUGCAUUGAAGAGGAAGUUAAUGUGCUUAACUUCUGCAAGUUGGGGUGUGCGUCGUCUGUGUGCAACAACAUCAACGCUGGUAAGCACCUUUUGCUCAGACAGAGAAAACAAUAAUCAUUAAUUAGCGGCAGCUAGAAUCCUAUAAUCUAAUAUAUAUAUAUAAUUUUAUCAGCUCUGGGAAAUGAAGAGGCGAACGAUGCCGUUGAGAGUUGCGACCAAGCCUGCUCUAGCUUCUGCAGCGUGCAUGUUGGCAGCGCCACCGUGGUUGCUUAAGCAAAUGCAUCCAACUAGAUCGUCCUUGUGCUGAAUAAUUGGAUAUCGUAUCCACUUAAAGCUGCCUUGUGUAGUACGUCUUUGUGUCUCUCUUUAUAUUCCAAUAAGGUCGGUGAUCUUGAUGCCACACACUCAGAUGUGUGUUCAUCUCCAGAUACUACUCCAUGCUACCUGCCCUUUGUGUUUUGUUCAAUAACUGGGUAUCAUAUCCGAGCCAGUAUGCCGUCUGUUUUGUGUUUGUUUCCUUCUAGUUCCAAAGGGGUCAUCAUGAUGUUACCUUCUUUCAAUAUGGUGCUUUGCAUGACUACUGUUGUAUGGUACCAUCUUGUGGCCAAUAAGUACAUCUUAUCCUAUGACCCUUUGCUAUGACCCUUUGCAAAUAAGUAGAAGAUUGUUAUAAGCGUCAAUACUCAGUAUAAUUGAUCGCUGCUGUGAGUUCCCUUUCAGCUUAUCGUAGGCAUACAUUAUUGCUAGCACGGUAAAGCCAACCAACACGAAUGAUGAAGUAAACGUAGCGGUACUUCUGUAUACCAACACCCUUACUUAAAUGUACCGGUGUCAUUCCCUACUGGCACAUAUAUUCUUAUAUGCUAGCCAGCUUGUAAAAUUAACCAAUUAAAAUAAUUAUUUCAAGAUAGAAAUAACUUAUUGGCUUCUCGAAGCAUGUGUAAUGUGAAUUCAUGAGACUUCAAGCAACCAGGAAAAGACACUAAUAAACAUCCAGAUCCCAUCCAGCACACAUCCAUGCACAUAUAUAACCCACAUAUUGCUCCAGCACACAUCCAUGCAUAUACGAUAUCCAAAUGUUAAUAUUGUAGACAUCCAUGCCUGAACUAGUCUGCCACACAAGUCAUUGAUGCUACAAAUUCUACAAUCGCAGCAUGUGCAUACAACUUACAGAAUGAGAUAAUGUACCAAAACUAAAACGUUAGCAUCAACUGUGCUUCAACCAAAGUUGUCAUCCCAACUCUCCUCUUCAUCCAUGCCAUUCUUGUCAUGGCCGUCGCUGUCAGUCUCCAUGGCAUUGCCAAUGCUGUGUAUGUCUUGGUAGGAACCUACAUGUGAUGAACAGUAACCUGCAAAAAGAGCUCAAAGGAUCUUGUUCUCAUAUUGUAGCUGUGAAAUUCUUGCAAGUAGUGUUGCAAUCUGUUCACUUUGAACCAAAAGAGCUCAAAGGAUCUUGUCCUAAAAGUUCCUCUUAAAGCUUAUGGGUUUGCUGGUGGAACCGGAAGGGCUUGAUGCAGCAGAUGCCAUUCUGCAAUAGAGAAAAAUUUAGAGGGCAGUACUAGUUAAAAUUUGAUGCAGCAGAUACACACGAAACUAGUAUUUAUACAAUUCUAUAUAUGUAAUAAUUUGUCCCCUAAAUUUUUAGGAUCCUCUUGAUGGUGGUGAGUCUUCCAGUAAGGCAAUUGAAUGUCCGUCAUAAUAAAAUUCUCCUUAGGAUUUAUCAUCUCGUCAACCAGAAAUCCUAGGAGUGCUUCUUGGAUUGCCAAAACCCUAUCCUGAUGCAGGAGUUCGUCCUUAAGCCUUAACAUUUGUAAUUUGGAAAUAUGUGAAAGUUAAACCAACAAUUAAAAUAUAAGGAGCCUUAUCAUCAUUUCCAUGUGUUGCGAAUUAAAAUAAUGAAUAAUACAGUGUUAGGUGAAAAUUCAAGAAACAAAAUUUUGCAUAGAGAUAAACGUCCAACAUUAUUACAAGUUAAGGUAGUUUUAAAUAUCCUUGUAAUCUUCCUUUGAUUUCCUCAACGAUUCGAAGACAAUAACCUUACUUCUAUCAAUGAUAAUUAUAAGGAGAACCCAGUGAAAACUGUGUAUUCAUAUUAGAACUACCUAAGGUUAAUUAGGUUAGGAAAGGAAAUCGAAAAUAGAUGGUACCCACACUUACUUAAAGUUGUCGGGCAAUAGUAUGUAAUGCUUGUAAUUCCGUUGCUCCAAGAAUUUGUAUAUGUGGUCCAAUGUAGACUUUGGUUGAUUCCGUAUCUGCUGUUGGUUAAAUAAGUGUUUCUAGCCAUUACUAGCCGUUAGAACUCGGACUAAAGGGGGCUCUUUAGUACGGGUUGAUAUUACUAAUCGGGAUUAAAGAGCCCCCAUUAGAGUUGGUUUUUGGACGCGGAACUAACAACUCCUUUAGUCCUAAGUACAAAAAUGACUGAAAUAUUUGUUGCUGGAUGGAAGGUCCUUUCUCUACCAUGAAUAUUGCCAGAAAGAAUUGAAAGAGACUGCUUGCUAAAAAUAUGUCAUAGAUGUAGACCAAGCUACCAAGGAUGUAGACCAAACAUGAUACACACCAUGCGUACCUUGCUGUGCAGACUAUGCAUUGACAAGAUAGAAAUAAUUAAUUCUAAUAUGCGUACCCUUACUUACACUAGUAGAGAAUUGGGCUUUAAUCCCGGUUGGUAAGGUGCAAAUAUCUCGAAAAUGCAUCCGGGAUAAACCAACCGGGACAAAAGGGGGAUCUUUUAUCCCGGGUCACUCAACACGCGAUUUUUCACAAAAAAAAAAUUCCCGAGCUCCCAGGCAGGCCCCCCACACGCGAUUUUUCACGCGAAAUAUGCGCGUGCGCGGUUCGUGGGAUUCGAACCCACAACCUCCAGCCUCGCGCGUAGUUUCCUUGCCAUCCCACCUACACACCACAUCUGACUAUGUAGGGGAUACUAUCCUUUUGUAUUAAAAGGCUCUUGACCCUUUUAUCUCGGUUGGUGUUACCAACCGGGAUAAAAGGGGGGGUCUUUUAUCCCGGUUGGUGUUUCAAACCGGGAUAAAAGGCCUCUCAGAGUCUUUUUUUCCCAUUAGCCUUUGCAACCGGGAUAAAAGGUUCCGGUUGGUGAGCCCCCCACCAGUGACCGAGUUUUAGUCCCGGUUGGUGAACCUUUUGUCCCGGGCCAACUUUAAACCGGGACAAAAGGGGGCGUAUGGAAAGCCAAUUCUCUACUAGUGUUAAAUAUACCGGUGUUAUUGCCCACUGGCACAUAUAUUCUUAUAUGCUAGCCGGCUUGAAAAUUAACCGAUUAAAAUAAUUAAUUCAAGACAGAAAUAACUUAUCGGCUUCUCGAAGCAUGUGUAAUAUGAAUUCAAGGACUCGAUGGAAGUUGAAUCGCUUCAUCUAGAUUGCUUUCAGGAUUUUGGGUAACUAAAUUUAACAUUUGCACACACAAAUGUUAAUGUACAAAUGUUAAAUCUAGUUACCCAAGCAGAAUAUGAAUAUACUCUAUAGUAUACAUAUACUAUAUAAAUCUAGUUAAUAUUUAGUCUAAAUGUUAAAUCUAGUUACCUAAAAUCCUGAAAGCAAAAUGUAUAAAUAUAUAUCUUUUAAGGCAGUAUAAACUUCGAUUCCUUUUGCUGCUCUGUUAAAUCUCAUCUUUCGUUGUGGCCCAACACUCUAGUAUGUAUGUUGCACCAAGCUUCCUUGAGCCGCUCUGCCCUCUGAUUUUGCUGCGUAGGGGAAUCUUUAUCAGGUUGGGCUGCUUCCAGUCAUACGAUGUGUGGCUUCAUAUCUUCUACAAGUUAGACAGGAAACCCGCGUUCUGGAAGAUUCUGCAACGUGCACGUUGGCGCUGCCACCGUGGUUGCUUAAGCAAAUGCAUCCAACUGAAUCGUCCUUGUGCUAAAUAAUUGGAUAUCGUAUCCACUGCUUAAAGCUGCCAUGUUUAGUACAUCUUUGUUUUUCUCUCUUUAUAUUCCAAUAAGGUCGGUGAUCUUGAUGCCACACACUCAGAUGUGUGUUCAUCUUCGGAUACUACUCCAUGCUACCUGCCCUUUGUGUUUUGUUCAAUAACUGGGUAUCAUAUCCUAGUCAGUGUGCCAUCUGUUUUGUGUUUGUUUCCUUCUAGUUCCAAAGGGGUUAUCAUGAUGUUACCUUCUUUUGAGGUGUCUAUGACUUUGUUAAUAUCAAUAUUAACCAAUUCAAUCUAUCUUAACUAUUUGUAAGGGGUAUGAUGUAUGCAUGAUUAUAACAAUGAUUGCGCAUACAAUCACUGCCAAAGAAACGGUCAAUACCAUAAAGACAUAUUACAGACAAUUCUCAUAAUCUAUAAUGAAUAUACAUAUUCACUACUGCAGAGACUGUCAUCUGUAUCAGCUCAUACGUGCCAGGGCAAAGGUCACCCUUGCAUUAAAAGUACAUUUGCACGGUAAAGAUAACCAACACGAAUAAUGAUGUAAACAUGCCGGUGCUUUUGUACACCAACACGCUUACUUAAAUGUACUGGUGUCAUUCCUCACCGGUAGCCGGCUUGAAAAUUAACCAAUUAGAACAAUUAUUUAUUGUAUCGGUGUGAAUUUUGACCUAUUGGAAUAUGAAUUUGACCAUUACUGCAUUCGUCAAGACUCAAGAGAGAAAUAACUGAUCGGCUUCUUAGAGCGUGUGCAAUGUGAAAUCAAGGACUGGAUGGAAGUUGAAGCGCUAGCUUCAUCUUCCGCUGCAUGUUAAUUGCUUGGAUAAGAAGUUGUAGCCGCGUAUAUAAAUAGUCCCGCUGAUGCUGUGCUCCGAAGUCUAUACUAUAUAUGCGAAAACUAGAUUGCUUUCAGGAUUUUGGGUAACUAAAUUUAACAUUUGUACAUAAAAAUGUUAGUUUACGAAUGUUAAAUCUAGUUACCCAAGCAGAACAAGAAGAUAGUAUAUACUAUAUACUAUGUAAAUCAAGUUAACAUUUAGUCUAAAUGUUAUAUCUACUUACCCAAAAUCUUGAAAGCAAAGAAAGAAUAAGUAUAUAUCUUUUGUUGGAAAAUUGGUCCACGGAGAGUGGCCUCGUUCGUUUCACCGGGAAGGAAUUCCAGUCAGGAUUACUUCCAAGUCCGGUUUAAGUGAUUCCACCCAUGUCACUCAAUUCGGCUAGGAUUCAUUCCAGGGGUGAGGAGGUAUGGUUUCAAUCCGGGCCAUCUAAUGUAGAAGGAUUCCAAUCCAGGCCGGUUUUCGUUCUAGGCUAGACUAAAACGAACAACACUUUCAAUGCAAGUCUGGUUUCAAACCGGGCCACUUCAAACCACCCGGAAUGGACCUCAUUCCGGGCCAAUCCGGUGAUAACAAACGAGGCCUUAAUGGAAUCCCAAAGCAAGAGUUCAGUGGCAUUCUAUAGUCCCAUGCUGCUAGUUUGAGUUGGUCGAAGCCAACUUAAAUAGGAGAGCUCUCUCACUUCUCUAAAAAUGUAACUGAAGGAGAGAAGGGGGCUUGGGUUACACAACGCACGCACGCACGCAUAUUUGCAUUCUUUUCGCGUAACCGACCGCGUGACUUGAAACUUGCGACGUAGCGUGCUGCUAAGUCAAGUUGAUAUAACCUUUUUGCCGUUUGCGUGUAAUCUUUUGACAACGGUCAUUGGAGGUGAUAAGCACGCAGUCAAUACCUUAAUCCUGAGUUAAUAGGGCGGUUACUACUGCCAAUUAGUGCAGCAAUUUUGUAGGGGAAACGGUUAGCAGAGGGCUACCGUCUUCUCUAUAAGAAGUUUUGGAGACGUCCAGGAACACACAUGUACAUGUGAGAGACCCACGGAUUCCUUCCCUUCUCCCUUUUCCAUCUGGUGAAGUGUGCUAUGGUACUGAGCUGCUGGAUCUCGCUGGCUCUUCUCCUUGGCGUGCACCGAGGAGGAGGAUGAGCGGUAUCUCUGAGCUAUUGCCGUCAGGAAGCCUGCACGAGGGACAACAAUAAAGUUUUUAGGUAGCGCCUGCCUAAUCUUCGAUCUGCACUGCAACGCGUAACCCUGCAGCAACUCUACACGAGGACGGAGCACUAAUCUGUAAGUCCUAGAUUGGUUUCUUACAGAGUUGUAGGUUACACAAGAUCUAGAAUGGUUACAUACCAAUUAUUAUGGGUUACAUGAUGUUUUGUACGGUUUCGUCUAUUUUGCAUAUGUUAUUUUUACAUACCGUUUACAUGCAUAUGUUAAUGGUUACACCUAGCUAUUUGAAUCUAGAAUUGGGUUACAUAGCAGUAGCAAUGAGUUACGUAAUAUGCCUCACGUUUAUAUCUGGUAGAAUUUAACACGUAUCUCCAACAUAUUUUGAGGCAGUAUAAAUUUCAAUUCCUUUUGCUGCUCUGUUAAAUCCCGUCUUUCGUUGUGGCCCAACACUCUAGUAUGCAUGUAGCACCAAGCUUGUUUGAGCCGCUUUGUGCUUUGAUUUUGCUGCGUAGGGGAAUCUGUAUCAGGUUGGAUUGUUUCUUUGUCUUGCGAUGUAUAGCUUCAUAUCUUCUAGAGGUUAGACAGCAAAACCCGCAUUCUCUUAAGGCAACAACCCGAAGAAUCUGCAGCGCCUCUGAUAUAUCACUGCUGCAGAAACGAUCUUUAGUACUGAUCUCCAACCCUCUUUAGUAUCGGUUGGGCAACCAGUACCACUAUGUCGGUACUAAAGGGAGUUCUCUAGAAUCGGAUCAAAUAACCGGUACUAAAAGGGCUCCUUUACUACCGGUUGGUAACAACAAUAGGUAGUGACUUUUUUGCACCCAAAAAAUUAAAGAAUAACAGCCGGGAGGCUCGCACACACACGCAUCAUGAGUAAUAUGCGCGUGCAUGGUUUGUGGGAUUUCAACCCACGACCAAGCUAUAAGAACGUAGUUACAACAAAUCAAACACUUAGACAUUUUAGAGCAUCCCAAAUAACUACAAAUUCUAUAGUUUACCAUAUACCAUAAAAUAUUAGUUAAAAUAAGAGCAUACACAUGUCGGAAGAGUCCCAAUGCACCGGUUGAGGAUCAGACCAGGCACUUUGAAUGCACAUGCCAUAAGAUAAUUCUGCAGGACAAUGAUUGCAAUAAUGGACCAUCGAGAAGAUAGGGGCGAUGGGGUUGCCUCAUCAAUUAUCACUUGGCGCAACAAGACCAGCAAAGUCUUUAUCGACGGGGGUGGAUCAAGGGGUGGGGCAGGCAGAGCUCCAGUCCUCCUACCGCCGCUCGAACAAUGGAGCCCCCUUAGCCCCUCCAUAAAUUUUUAGGUAGAAGAAAAAAGAAGAGAAGGGAAGCAAGGGGAAGAAGAGGGAGCCCCUGCUAAGUAGGUCGCCAUCGUGCUUCCCAACGCAUGAUCGCCGCACCGCAUCCAUUCCUCUACAAGCCUUCAGCGUCUCUCCCGCCGCUACCUCUGAACCAUGUGCAGCUAUAGACCCAACUAGUGUGUUGUCGCCCAUCUCAGUCCCAACAGAGCGGCGGCGGCUGCCAACACAAAUCUCCCUCCGCCUCUUCUUCACGGUCGAUGGCCGCCACAAGCAUAAACCUCGCCUUCGCAUCCAAGCAAAAGGGUCGUUGGGGUGCCUUCUUGCAUCACUUCUCAGCCUCCUUCACUUGCGGCCAGCGAAGAACUGCGCCACCACCUCGGGUGCGUGCCACCACUCCAGGGCCGCUACCCCAUGCCUGCGGCCGCCACCGGCCACCACGCGUGUGCAACCGCGUUGCACCGCUUCCCUGCUUUGUGCCACCACUACUGCUGUACCACCAGCUCCACCACCUUGGGAUGGUCGCCAGGGUGACUGAUUGGUGAUUAUUACUAAAAAUAAGUUCCUUAUUAUCUGCAACUACUAUUAACUCAGAGAUACAUGCGUCUUUUGCUUCUCCUGCUAAUAGGUCCUAAAAUAUCUAGGAUGCUUUAUAUUUCUGGACAGAGGAAGUAUUUGAAUAAAAUGAACCAAUUUAAAAAAAAUGUGUUGUACACUACUACAGAAAGACCUAUCAGUGUCAAACCCAAAAAUGUCGUCACCGCCAGUUUUAGGCAUCGUUGGUGAAAGGUUGGCGGUGAUGGGCAUCCCCUUCAACAACGGCACUGGAGCCGACGGUGAUUGACAUUAGAAAACAAAAAAGGGAACCCCACCUAGCCACCCCUGCAACCCAGCCGGCCGUGCCUCCCCUCAUGCCCACCACCUCGCCUCCCCCGUGACCCCCCGCCGGCGCCCUUGUGCCUAGCCCCCUCGCCUGCCCGGCCGGCCACCCUCGUCAUGAGAGAGAGAGGUGCAUGUUGUAUAAUUGCGUGAAUUUUUGAAUGUUUAAUUUUAUGUAAGUUCCAUGUAAUAAAUUGUACAAGUUUUAUUGUAUAUAUGAAUUCCAUAUAUAUGUAUUUAUAAUUUAAUGUAUGGUUUCAUGUGUAUAUUUCAAUCAUGUGUAUAAUUAGUAGAUUGCCGAUUUUCUUUUUCUACUAGACAAGGGUUGAUGUAUAAUUACGUGUAUAUGUUUAUUGUAUGGGCAAUUAGGACAAGUUUUGUAUAAAUUUCUUUUAUUUCAUGGUUGUUGUAUGGUUUCAUGUAUAUACAUUUAUUGUACUACUUGAGACAAUUUUAAUUUAAUAUUUCUAUGAUUACAUGUGUGUAUAACUAAUUGUAUUAUUAGUUAAGAUGGGAGCCAAAGAGGAUGAAAGGUAUAUAAUAGAGUAGAUUAUUGCUGGCGGUAGUGGCUCAAACGUUGCAAGAACCUACACCGAGGGUGAGGGUAGCUAGGUGGACAUGUACCUCAACAUGUCCAGUGAUGGCAAUGACGAUGAGGAGCACGAGCAUGACGUCUAUGAUAAUGCGGAACAAGACAUUGCAGAAUUGGAAGGUUCUAAUGAGGUGUGCUUCAUGUUGACGAUCUAGUUGGCUUUUUUUCUUUGGUCACACCUUAGUUACCAUAGAACUUCGUCUCGGGAGAAGAUUGGUGGUGCUAUGGUGAUUGGAAUUUUAUUGCCUCCAAAUUUGAUUUCCAUCGAAUCAUAUCCCUUGUAUUUAUCUUCUUUUUAUUUGUGAGAGCAUCUUCUUUAUGCUUGCAAAACAAUUCAAGUGCACAUACUACCCCUAGGGUGAUGAUUGGGAGUAGAAACAAUUGCCAACAAAACAACACCACAUCCUAAGAUUCUUAACUUGUGGCAUAAUUAAUCUAGUGAAAAGAAAGAUAAAAACCUAAUGGGUGUACGUGAGUGCAAUGUGUAUAUGCAUAUGAGUGGAAGGCAUAUAAGCAAAGACAAUAUUUACACAUAGUUCUAAACACCAUGUUUACAGCUAGGUUGCUGAAUUUCUCCAUAGCUAUAGAGAUUAAUUAACCAAGGUCAAAACACGAUGUCUAUCCCAAGAUCAGUAAUUCUUUAUAGCACAAGAAAAAUAAAGCGCAUUGCAAAGUUUAUAAACCAACCAAUACAGCAUGAAAACAAGAUGAAUAGCUAGCAAGGUUUAUUAAAUUGAAUGAUGACGGUCUGCAAGCAAGUUUGAACACCAUCUUUACACAAGAUUGCAAAUGGAAAAUGCCCAUAUGAAGCACUAACAUGGAUAUGAAAUCAUUCAUCAUAAAGCGUAAAGAACAACCAAGCCAACCAUAUGCAAAGCAUGAAUGGAAUGCAAUGAAGGUGCAAGAGAACAUUUUUGGAUGAACACAUUAUGAUGAUGGCAAAAUGCAAUGCGUGCAGAAAUAAUAAAUAUGAACAUGAAUAUGAUGAUCAGGGGCGGACCCACUAUUGUGGCCUGGGUAUUCCUGGGCAUACCCAAUAUUUUUGGGAAAAUGUUUAGUAGUUUUUAAUGGCAUAUACAUGUAUAAUAUAGUUUAGGUGUUAAAAUUGAUAUUCACAGCUAUUUUGGGCUCCAAUUCGCGUCCAAACCAACCUAGCCCACAGACCACACCCGGCCGGCCAGCCCAUCGGCCCAUCUAGUCACUGAUCCUUCCACCACCACACUCAGCCCAUCAGUCGGUCAGGUCCCGAGCUCCUGCCUGACCUAGUCUGCUACCGCCGCCGGGCGCCAAGCACAGCCGUACGCAUUGCACCGCCCCCGUCCACCCACGUCCGUUGGGGGGCCAAGCCGCGCCCCCCAGCCCCCGCGGUGAGAUCUCGACGCCCGCUGCCCCCAGACCCCAUUAGGCCUCCAUCGGCAAGUCCACCCACAGUCCCACGGGACGGGGCAGCCUUUUGGCUUUGGGCGCUCGGGGCGCGCCAAUGCCAGCGCAGCCCCAGCAGGCGACUGCCCCCCCCCCCCGCAUCAGGCCUCAGCCCCUCCCCAGCUCCCCCUCCCCCCUCCACCAGGACUGCUUGUUGGCCCCCACCGCGAGGUAAUCGAAAUGGACUGCUCAAUCACUCAAUCUGUUGACAUGAUGCACACGGNNNNNNNNNNNNNNNNNNNNNNNNNNNNNNNNNNNNNNNNNNNNNNNNNNNNNNNNNNNNNNNNNNNNNNNNNNNNNNNNNNNNNNNNNNNNNNNNNNNNNNNNNNNNNNNNNNNNNNNNNNNNNNNNNNNNNNNNNNNNNNNNNNNNNNNNNNNNNNNNNNNNNNNNNNNNNNNNNNNNNNNNNNNNNNNNNNNNNNNNNNNAUUUUUUUGCAAUGAGCAUACCCUACUCUGAAAUCCUGGGUCUGCCACUGAUGAUGAUGGUCUAAACAUAAAACAAGCCAAGAUUAAUUAGCCACAACUGAAAUUAAGCAAAGGUUAAUGUCAUUGACCCUAGCUCUAUCCUAGCUUUUACAAAAGUCCCAGCACAUAUAGUGGUUGGGCCCACUCUCUCUGCUUCCCUCUCUGCUGCAUGCAUGCACACGAGCAACGGGAGGCCCCACAAAGCCCAGAAGGGUUCGGCUGAACCCGGCCGAUCCAAUCUGAGCACCACUCCCUCCCAGCCUUCGCGCAGAUGCUCCUCCAACAUUCCUUGACCCCUCCCUCAGCGUCCCAUUGGGUUUAACAUUGCAGGAGAGGAGUCCCUUUUUUAAAAUCUCAACCACCUCCUCUCCUCAUUCACUCCACUCUCAUCUCCAUCAAACUCACCAAGAUCCACAUCGGAAAUCCCUGCUUACCACCAUGGCUGGCAAAGCCCUCGUCCCUUUCACCAACUUGGGCUUAACCAUUGAUCUCGAUGGGGAAAUCACUCCGGAAAUAGGGCAGUGACCCAGAGCAAAGGUGAUGCCAGAGUGUAGAUAGCAGUUAGCAUGCCAAAUUGUGAACCGCAAGCGCUCGGAUUAGUUGUUUUUUUUCCCUUAGAGAUUCCCCCAAGGUUUAUCAAUCCAUGGAACAAGGGAUUUGCACAUUUCACUAAGCAUUAAUCAAUGUAAUUGAAAGCUUUUUGAAUAAGAUAUGAUUAUGCUAACAAAGGAACUAAGCAAUCUAGAUUAAGAUGGAUAGAGAGUAAAGGUUGUGAACAAGAUAGAUUAAACGCUUAUAGAUGCAAUCACCAUGCAUGAAUGAAUUAGAUCUAGGUGUUAUUGUGAGUGGUUGUGAACCAUACCCCAACACUUUCCCACCCGCAACAUUGUCACUACAUGUGGGUACUCAACUAUCGAAACAUAAGAACACAUCAAGAUGAUCAUUCUAGGUAAGCAAAUAAGCAACCCAAAGUAGCGCUGGCCAGCCUUUUCAUGAAAGAGCAUCAUCAAGAUAAGAUUGAUAACAAAAUAGAUCUCAACCAAAGGUUCAGCGAUUACAAAUCAAGAUCUCCGUAUAACCCCGAUGACAAAUAGAGGUAUUACCCCCAUGAUCUUACACAUGUUGAUGAAUUUUAGGGUAAAGGACGCCCUGUAGAUCAACUGGACCAAAGAUGAUGAUGAACAGGGGCAGGGAAGGCCCAGGCUGAUCAGCCUGGGCACUUUUGAGCCGAUCAGCUUAGGGAGUUUCCUCCUCCCCUGGUGCUCCUCUUCGCGUGGCCUCCUCUGGAUCCAAUCUUCUCUUCAUUUCUCCUACUUGUGGUGGCAAUGGAUGGUGUUUGCAUGGUGAUUUCCUCUUCUCCCCAACUCUCCCUCCUUGAAGUCCAUGAGGGGGUAUUAAUAGUCUCCAAUAUGCGGCAGCUCUGGGUCAAUGUCGGUGAAAAAACCCUAGAGAUCAUCGUACACUUCACGCUGAGGAAACAAGAGGUCGACCGAGCCCUGGGAUAGACCAAGAGGAUCAGCCUAGAGGGUCCCAGGCCAAUCGGUCUAGGCCCUUCCUAGCCCUUCUAGUCCUCUCCUUCCUCGUGCUGGCUUUUCUCGAUGACCCUUGUCCAAAUAUCCAUUAAGCUCUAUAUACAUACCCCCUUGAUUAUGUCGUAUUUCCUGUCAAAAUACAAUGCUCCAAAAUACAACACAUAUGCAAUAAUAGGGUUAUUUCAUGUGCCAAUUGGUGCGUUAGUAUACGAAUAAGCAUGAAAAUACUGGUUAAAUGACACUAAAAGUGUGUCAAUAACGAGCACCAACAAUCCCCCCACGCUUAGAUCUUGCUCGUCCUCGAGCAAGUCUAGCGACUAAAAGAUCUUGAAUUAAACAUGAGCAAGCGAGUCAAGUACCUAGCCUUGAAACAAAAGAUUAGAGGAGCAGCAAAGAUAAUCAAAGUCUGGGUGUUCAAAGAUUUAUCUAAGCAAAGAUUCCCCUACAACUAUUAUUCAGAACCAAGUAACUUCAAGAAUCAACUACACUUAUUUUCUGGCUUUUUUCAGAGGGUUUUUCUUUCAUCACAAAACAAUCUCCCUGCAACAAAAUUGAAAAAAGAAUUAUUUUCCAGGUGCUUACAUGUCGUUUAAAUGAAUGUUCGCUAUCCUACUUAUUUGCAAGCUCUCAUCUCUCAAAAUUCAUUCAAUUAUAUGGUGGAGCUUGGGUAAGGUUAGCUAGAAUCAACACGUAUAUUAUUGAAUUAAGAAAACCCUCUAACGGUAGCCUACCUUUCGAGCCAUUGAUCAUAAGAAUAUCCACAUAAUGUGAAGUUUUCAAGGAUGAGAAUAGAAUGGUGGACAUGUGCAAAGGCAAAGAAAUAUAGUGACUCUGAGGCACAAGCAAUGUCCUCGUCGUUGGAUUGCAUAUGGUUGGAAUGAAAAUCUGUUCCUUAAACAAGUCCAUCUUUUCUUUGCACCACUCUUGAUCUUCAUGACAGUAAAAACUCCUCCUUUAUUUCUUUCUCUCUUUUCCUAUUAUUUCUUUUUAUUUGUCUCAAUACUUUUCUUUCUUUAUUUCUUUAUUUUAAUCUCUUCUCCGAACCUCUUCUGAACACCACACAAUAAAAAUCAGUUUUAGAUCCUUCUAGAGACCUUCCAGGAAUUUGCUACAUGAAAACCGAGGCAAGGAGACCCCAGGCCGAUUGGCCUGGCCACUCCUUUGCUCUCCUCUAGCUCUUCUUUCUUGUGAAGCUUCCUUAUCUUGUAUCUUUCCAAAAAUUUCAUAAAGCUCAACUAGAAACGGAACACAUCUUCAUAUAAUGAGUUGUGUUCAAGGAAUUGGUAAUAAAAUUGAGAAAUUUGUGGUUCGGGUUUACGAAUUCAGUACAAAAAUAUGAUUAUUCCAAUGAAGAACUCUCAUUACUGAAUAUUGACGAGGCAAGCAUUCAAAGAUGGUAAAAAGGAUAUGAUCAAUUCUCAGAAUUAAAGCAAACCAAGAGAGAGCGAUCCUAAUUCAAUUCAAAGUGUCAAAUGUUGCUUAUGGUGGUAUGAAUAAAUAUUUUUAGGCAUUGGGUAGGAUAAAUAAAAACUCUCAACCUGGUUAAAAGAUAUUGAUCAAUCUUGUUUUUGCAGAGGUUUUAAAUAAAAAAUAAAAUUUUAAAUCACCUCCAAUUCAAAGCCUUACUCAUAAAUCAUAAUCAAAACUGAAGCACUUGAUCAUCAUAAAGCAUGGGUAUUGCAUAAACAAAUCGAUUACUAAAACUCCACAACUACGAUUUAGAAUUCAAGACAAUGCUCAUAAUCUAAAGUUGCAAAGACAAAAUAAAAGACAAGCAAGCCAAGGUAGACACUAAAAACACUUGCACGAUCCUUGAAUUUUAUUCAUGCUUCUUCUCACAAAGACGCUAAAGUAGCCAUGUAGGCCUAAGUCUUCCCAAAAGCUUAAGAAGACUACUACUUUAUCUACUUUUGGUUCUAAUAAAAACACUAAUCUAGACUCUCACAUGAUUCGACUCGACCAAACUAGAUCCAAAAACUCAUACGAGCGACAAUCUCCCCCCCCCCCUCUCAAAUCUACGACCUCCUCGUGGUAACCAUAUGGAGUACAAGGAAAAGACGCUUGUAAACGCACUAAUGACGCUACCCGGACUACUUGCACACGGAAUGGUUGCUGUUUCCUUUGCUUUGUUCUUCGUCAUGUUGCUGCACAUCCCGAAGAGCUUCCUCACGUUCCUCUGCAAGAACUUGAACUUGAACUUGUCCUCCUGACGGCAAUCAUUAUCUUCUGCCUUUUGAUCCAGAGCUUGUAAGGCUUGCAUGAUGUCAUUGAACGCAUCGAAGAGGUAGUGGAUGUUCUUCCUGCAAGCUGUGGAACAUGUACGAUCAUGCUCCUACGAUUCUGGCCCGUCGUCUUCUAGAUCCUCCUCUUUGCCCUUGUCUUGACGGUGGCCAUCUUGCUCCUUGCUCGUCUUCUUGCCUUCAGCCCGAUCCCAGUACGUGUUGUCAUCUUCUUCAUCAUCACGGCCUGCAGCACCCUAUGAUCCAUUGUCUAUCUUGUAUGAAAGAAUCAGAAGCUUGUUCUCCUCAGGGUGUCUUGCGCGGUGCAGCGUUUGCAAGUGCAAGGCUUGCUAGUUCUUUUUACACAUUGUAAUGUUCAUUGCAUGCUCUAAUUGUUCUACAUUUGUAAUUUCUUGGUGAAGUUUGGUUACUGAUCCACUGUUUGAUUAACUCUUGGGCCCAAACACUGUACUACUUCUGAUUAGAUAUCUGUAUCUUAACUUUGACCAAAAAAAAUAUCCGGCAGUUUUUGCCAUUAAAGUUUCAUAAAUCAUCUUGCAAAAAUCGUACUAUACAACAAGGGACGGUUUAUUAUAAAAUAUACGUUCCCCUUAUCACAUGCCACUUCCACUCAAAAGGCAACGAAUCAGUUUUCAAUCCUGAGUGAGCAAUUUGCUUUUAUUACCGAUGCCUCCUAUUCCCUUGUGCACCAAGUUCAUUUUGGAUAGGACUGCAAAAAGCGACUAACCAGCUCGGAUUCUCCACCUGCAAAACCGCAUCUGCAGCAACCAACCCCACGCGGUGGAAAAAAAAACAAAACCCAGAAACCGGACGGGGGUGGAUGUGGGGCUCGGAGCCCAAGCAAAAAAAGGAUCGGGAGCGCCGGAGCAGGCCAUCACCGGAUGUUAGAGAUAGAAAAUGGUUGAAGUUGGAGUGGAAAUCAAACAAGCCUUGGAGCAAAGGAAAAAAAAGAUCAAACCACUCAAGCAUUCAUUUGAUUUAGAAAAGAGAACAUUUGUUAAGGUGGGGAGUUGAAAUCAUCUUUUAAUUAGUUCCACGUAUCUGGUAUCAUUACAGUUGGUUGACUUGUGUAAGUAUAUAAGUAGCUCUGCCGAAGCCUUUGCUCCUAUAAUUUAGUAACUAGUACAAAUGGAUCAUUAGGAAAAUCAAGUUGCAAUCAUUUCUCAGCCAACCAAACCUAUCUAAAUCAAAUUAUUGUCCAUGCCCGGCAUGCACAGGUGCCUGCCAUGCAUGCAUUGUUGCUCCAUUGUAAUAACCAUUAUUGUCCAUUGAUGUUCCAGCGCAUGUGUGCACUGUGCAGACACCAAGCAUCGAGAUUAUGUACUAGUAAGGUACCAAGAACACGUGAAGCACACGGGGGAGGCUGCUCCACUCGGCAUGCACAGGUGGGGCACGGCACCACUACUCGUCUCCUUCAGGCAGAGGACAAGUGAUGUACGCUGAUCAACCACUAGUAGAAAAACGACUUUCCAUCCACCCCCUUUUGUCCCGGUUUAAAGUUGGCCCGGGAUAAAAGGUUCACCAACCGGGACUAAAACUCGGUCACUGGUGGGGGGCUCACCAACCGGGACCUUUUAUCCCGGUUGCAAAGGCUAGUGGGAAAAAAAGACUCUGAGAGGCCUUUUAUCCCGGUUUGAAACACCAACCGGGAUAAAAGGUGGUCUUUUAUCCCGGUUGGUGUUUCCAACCGGGAUAAAAGGGUCCCCACGAGUUAAUACAAAAGGAUAGUAUCCCCUAUAUAGUCAGAUGUGGUGUGUAGGUGGGAUGGCAAGGAAUCUCCGCCCUCUCCACCUUCGGUACUCCAUGGGAAACCAUUCCUUUGGAACCAAGGAAGCUUGAACAGUAUAACGAAUAAAGUUUCAUAUAUCCAUUUGAUUUCACAUGAAAUAAAAUAUCCUGUCAGAACCAAUGGUUUCACUGAAGCUCCAGGCAGCGAGCGAAGGGGUGAGAGAGGAUAACGCUUACUGUGUGUUACCAUCACGUGCACCAUGGAUGACCAACGCGCAGCCGAGAUGAAACGGCGGACCUAAACAGGUCCUCGCUAUUUUUGCAGGUUCUCGACCAGGCCAGUUCUUUGGGCCAACCUAUAAUUCACGAGUUAAACAUACGGUGGCUGUAGAAAUGUUCUAUUCUUUUCAACAAUACCAGCUGGUUCCUCCGUUUUUAUUCCACCAAUACAAGCACCACCUUGUAACAUUUCCUAUGUUUUUUUUCCUUUCGUCUGUUUUCUCACUACAUGCGUUGCUCUUUCAUGCAUUUUUUUCCAUUCCUGUAUUCCAAAUAGGUCUACAUGAACACAAAAUGAACUAGGGGACAGAAAAAGCCAGUGAAGUUAGUUUUGAGCUUCACCAGCUACUUGCUACAUAAAGUGUGCUAUAGUCGCAGAAAAGCUAAGCUGGAUCAGACGUGGCCGAAACCAUGCCAAAGAGCUAGGUCCCUAGCUGAUGGCAACACAUCAGAUGACUAGCCUGCUUUUUUGUAAUAAUGAUAUUGAGCAAUACACUGCAUGGCUAACCUGCUUUACAAUAAUUGUCAUUUUAUAAUAUUGGUCAUCACGAGAGAUGCACAUUGCAUACACCGGUCCAUCCCUAUAAAUAGCCAAGCCUUUCAGCCAUCUUGGGCACCUCCUCUCAGGGCCUCGUCUCACCAUUAGACAUCUCGUUCCCAGUUAUAAUUUGCGAGGUUAGAUCAGGCUGCGCCAUGGCGUCCGCAGCUGCUGUCAAGAUCGCCGCCAUCUUCAUGCUGGUGCUGACCAUGGGCCACCUGAUGGCCGAAGCAUCACCGCAGCCUCGGCGUCUGCUUGCAGAAACGGAGCAUGCUGCGGUGUCCGGGAAUCCUGGCCUCCCAGGUGAUGCUAGCGUCAUGCAGGUCCUCGAACCCGCCCUAGUUUCUCCUCUUGCCUGCAAGCCAGAGUGCACAGUCCCUUGGCCUCCUUUUGUAUGUAUCUGCUAGAUCCUCUUCCUGGAUCAACGGAACUUCAGGGAAAUGGCUGUGACGUCGGCCAAAGAAUAAAUUGGCUGAACAUAAUAUACCCCGGGUAGUGUAGCUUGGGCUUUUGUUGAGCGUCUGGUACUAGUUGUAUUUUGUUUGCUCAUGUGGCUUUGUUUCUGGUUGCAUAUUGUCUUUCCUAUCGCUCUCUGUUGCAGCUAUGGUUUCUGCCAGGUGUGUGUCAAUGCGGUUUGUAAGCGGUGCUUGUUCCUACCUUCUGUUUUCAAUAAAAGAAGUCGGAGUCUCCCUCCGACUCUUGUUAUCAGUCAAGAAAAAUGAGUUGUAUCAUAUAUAUCUGCGUCUUUUUUCUAUGUAUCUCUGGGCUGCUUCAGCUGGAAGUUUAUCGUAAGUACGUGUAUCAGGAUGAUCGUUUGAAUUAAAACGAAAUGAUAAUGUGUGGCUGCUAGAAAUGGAAUGAGCAUCUUACUAUAUUACUAAUUGGAAGCCUCCACGUGAAGCCACCUAGAAAUUCUAGGUGGAUGUUUUAAAAAAAAGAAAACCAAUAGAAGCCUCCACCACCUAGGAAUCCUAGAUGGACGCUCUAAAAAGAGAGAAAUCCUAGAAAUUCUAAAAAAAGAAAAAAAAUAAUAACAAUAAGAUUUUUUUUGCAGUCAGUUACAUAUAUUUUUUUGAGACACCGUGCUGCUAGCUCUUGCCAUUGCGACCAAUAAAGCAAGCAGAUAGUAAGAUGACAUGCGUGUGGAUUGAUUAAAACAGAUUCUGUUAGUUGAUUCUAAAUCAUAUGUAUCCUAAAAGGAACUAGAUAUGUGCGUGCAUGGUCCCUAGCGAUGACAUGUAGACAUGUAUUGCAAUUUCUUUUUUAAAAAAUAUGUCUAUCUCUAAACCAACAAACAGAAAAAAUAUCAAUCUAAAUCUAAAUCUCUUCCGUUCUCACACGCCUAUUAAAGAGAACACAACCAAUCCCAUCCAUGUUCCAUAGAAUCCAUCUAAAAGCUUGCUCACUGCGGACGGCAAAUCAACGAAAGAUCAUCCUCUCCAAAUAGCUAGACGGCAUCACCAUCUUUAUCUCACCAACCUACAGAGCUACAACGAUGUUGUAGAGAUCAACUAGGUAACCUACCAAUCACCCUCCCCUUUUCUAUAUGCUCUAAAGAACACGUGGAGUAAUUAUAGGCCUAUAGGAGCCGACUAACCUAGAUUAAUAUGAAAAAUAUUCCAAUAUUAAAAGCAAGCAGAUAGUAAUACUUGCCUUUGAGCAUUUUUCAAGAACUGUUAUUCCUAUUGAAUGUUCAAGUGCUACGGCCAGGCAUCGAAUGUCUGCACGGAACCUUCCUAUUGAAUGGUUACUCUAGAGAUCAACGCACCGCGAGACAUUGUUUUUGGAAUUUGUUUGAUUCCCCUUCUACAAUUAGAUUAAUUUUUCAUGGUAUAUAUUACUACUAUUAAAUUAUUUGUUUAUUAUCUGGCCUGCUGCAUGUGUGGUAUAGAUGACUUGCUUCUCACCAUUGUUCUCAAACUGUUAUUCCUAUCCAAUCUUUCUAUCGAAAUAUAUUUUAAUUACUUGAUUGUUGUUUGUGUACCAUAACUUCUGUAUAGAAAAAUUCCAUGUUUGUAGAUAAUGUCUUUUGUAUAGAAAAAUAGCCCAAUUAGGUCCAUCACCAUCUUUUGCUUAUGUAGUUGAACAAGUUGCAAUGCUGAACAAAACUUUAAGUGAAAUUAGACUAGGAAAAGGAAUUGUGGAACAUUAAGGCAAGGGUAACCAGAUUGUGGAAUGCAACCUUACUCAGUAGUGGCGAACAAUUAAGUCUUGACAUGAUCCUUAUUGAUCAAGAGGUAUGAUAGAUGUUCACUUUGAUUGCAUUUUUGGUAUAAUUUUUGGCUUACAAAUUAUUAAUGAUGAUGCAAAAUUAGGGAACCAUGAUCCACGGUGUUAUCAAUAAGCCCUAUAUGGAAAAGUUCAAACCAUUGAUUGAAGAAGGCAAUGUGUACAUAAUUGCAAAUGUCAGAAUCACACCAGAACCACAGAAGUAUCGGCCAGUGGGAAAUGACAGGAUAGUCAACUUCUUACCCACAACUGCACUAAAAAAGGUCAAAGAUACUGAAGACAUUCCAAAGUAUAGUUUUAACUUCAUGAGCACGGAUAUGCUUUCAGCAAGAAUAAAUGUGGACAUGUACCUAUCAGGUAAAACAUUACUGGUUUUUCAAUUUUUACACUUCCACUCAUUCAAUGACCAUCUAAUAAUAAUUCAGAUUUAUGUUUCAUAGAUGUUAUAGGUAUCUCAGCUCACAUUGGACCGAUAGAAGAAACAAGGACAAACUUCGGAUUUACCAAAAUCCGUGAUAUUGUGCUCCUGAUCGAGUAAUUCUCAUUUCUUUUGUAGAGAACAACUAUGAAACUUUCAACAUUUACAUGUAUGGUAUAGAACUUCUGUUGAACUAAAAGAUAUCUUCUACAGUGCCCCUACAAAUAAUUAAUUUCGCAGUUAGGUAUUUAAAAUAUUAAUUAUUCACUUUUAAUUUUGUGGCCAUGAAGUUAAAGUUAGAUUUUGGGGAGACAAAGUUGAGGAAGUUGAUGAUAAGACAAAAUCCCAUGUCAUUGCAAUAACAUCUACAACUGUGAGGAAAUUUGGCAGUAAGUCUUCAUUCAAUAUGAGUUAUUCAAUAUUAGUCAUUCAACAAACUAACCUCCUAGGAAAAAUAAAUAAUUGAUAUUUUAUCAGGGUAUUCUCUAUCGUCAACCAAUGCAACAAAAGUUUAUGUAGAUCUACCUAUUCCUGAAACUAAGGAUGCGCAUGAUAGGUGAGAAAAAUUAGAUAUUGUUUUUCUAUUUUAAUCUAUGUAGCAUGCACUCUAACAUGAUACAUUCUUUCGUAUGAUGAAAAAAUGUUAGUUCAAUUGAUAAUAUUGUCAAAGAGAUUCAUUAUUGAGGACCAUCUAAAAGGGAUAUUGGAAGACCAAAUGCAGUACAAUAGAAGAACUUUAGAAGAAUUAAAUUUGAUAUUAUUUGAAACAUCAAAUCAGGUAUGGAUUAGUAUGUUCAUUGUACACUAUACUAUUUAGAGACAUACAUACAUAAUGAUGGUAUUGUUCCUACUUUCAGGAUGAGGUAUUUACGAUGAGGUAUUUACUAUUGAAGCAACAAUAAAUGAAAUUAAUGCAACAUAUGGUUGGUACUACAUCUCAUGUAGUAGAGGCGAUUGUAAGAAGCAACUUGAAAAGAAGUUUCAUCACUACUAUUGCAAUAAAUGUGACAAGAGAGCCGAACCUAAAGCAUGGUAAAUUAUUUAGUAGUUUACAAUCUUAUUAUAAUACUUCUAUUUCUAAUUGGAGAAUAAUAUUUGCAAAUUCAAAAUUAAGCUUCAAAUAAGUGAUCCAACAACAAGUGCAACUUCUGUACUUUUGACAAGGAAGCAGAAAUGAUAAUUAAUGAAUGAGCAGAUUCGAUGAUCACCUCCGUUGAUCAUGAUAAUAAGUAGCUACCAAAAUCAACUAUGCAAAAAGUAGGAACAGAUCUUAAUCGGCUAUGCAAAAAGUAGUAAAUUGAGCAAUAAGAUAUAAAAAAGCUGACAGUCCUAAUUCCAAGCUGUAUAACUGGUGAUAAAACUAGAACAACAUGCAAAACCUAGAAUUCUAGUGAUUAUCGAUAACUGGUGAAUAAAUCUAAACAAAACGACAGCAAUGCGCCCGAAGUUAAAGCUUAGAUAUUACUUGAUAAGCGGAACUUAUAGAAUCGGCCGGAGAUCAAGUUGAUGCAGCCCCGCCAACCCGUACGAACUCGUGAAAAGAAGAAAAGUAUUGGCGAAGUCGCCUGCUCGAAAGUAAAGUGCGAGGAAAUAGUAGUUUGUUGUAUUGAUUUGAUGAUGAUUACAGAUCUAUGAAAGCGGCUAUUUAUAGCCAGUUACAACCAAUCUCUUAACUGACUAGGACUCUAUCUCUAAUUUUAAACGAAAACGAAUAUUUACAAGCAUAAUUCGUAUCGGAGUUGGUCAUCGUGUUCCCAUGGGCCGAUCUCCUUUUUAUCUUCAUAGCUCACUUUAGGCCCAUAUUGGCCCAACUGCUCCAACCUCCCAAUCGGCCGAUUUCCACCAACUCCAUCCGCCGAAAUACUACAGCACCAAUCGGCCGAUCCUCAACUGUAGCACCAAUCGGCCGAUUCCCAAUCGUGACCUCCGUGUUUCGCCGCAUCAGCUGAUUCCUUCCCUUCUUGACGCCGAUUUCAUACGCGUCAAAAUCUGGCAUCAACACAUGCCCCAAGUUUCGGAGUAAAACAUAAUCUUUACUUCAAAAUUCCUUUCAACUUCCCUUCCGAAACAAACGCAUUGAAAAUACCCUUCCGUUUCGCGGUCUUCUGCCUGAUGAUUGCAAUCUUUUCGAAACGGGCGCCCACGACAACCACUCCUCCUGAAAAAAUCGAACCGCCGGCGUGGUAAAAAUUCCGCUUUUACCCUUUCUCAGACCGCCCUUAGAUAUCAGUACGUCCCGUACUUCUUCUUCACGAGCCCACGUCUUCCUUCUUUGGCGCACUGACCUCCUUCUUCUUCCGGCGUCUCUUUAGCCUCUAACCUCUCACUCCGGCGAGUUCUUCCAUCUACAUUCCACCCCACCUUCCCGAUGGCAACACCUUCAGGCACUCCACCAACAUCCGAGGUCCCGGAGACGGCUCCAUCAGCAGCGGCUCCAACAGCAAUGGUGGCAGCUCCAUUGGCAGGAGCAGGAGCUCCAUCGGGCGGGAGCGGGAGCUUCAUCAACGACCACAAUGAGCUUCAUACCAGAGGUUUCUACCAAAACUUUCCUUUCCGCUCCUCUAUGUCGAUGCAUUUACCUUAGAUCAUUUCUUACUGCCCCUUCCAUUCUUUACCUGUUUAGGCAGUUAGGCACCACAUUACUAUUCGCCUCACCGAAACUCCCGGCCUUAUCUAUUUUGGUCCCAUGGGAAACCCAGAUCCAACCGACCUAAUCAAUUUGGAAACCCAUAGGAUCCCUUUCAAGCAAUCAACCAUGGACCUAGAUCACUGGUCAGGUACCUUCAGAUCAUGGCCGAAUGAAACCCCCGGCUGGAGGGAAUGGUACAAAUGGAUAGCCGCCUCAAAAAGAGUUCAAUGGGACGAGCACAAAAUCGGCCAGUGCAUCGACUUAUCUUUGUCCCAAAUGGAAAGGAAUGAGCCUUUAGUAAUAGCAGCCUCCUACUUUUGGUCCGAUGCCCUAAACGCAUUCCCCUUAGGACACGGAGCUAUGACCGCUACCCUAGCCGAUGUGGUCAUGUUGACCGGCCUUGAUAUCUCCUCUCCCGAUACUCCUUUCCGUUACUUGGCCAAAACAUCCCAUCGGCUAGAGACGAAAGGAAUCGGCGGGUGGAAAGGAUUCAUCAAGUGCAACAGAAGGGCCGGGACAGCCCAGGAAAGAGAGCAUGCGGCCUUCUUGAUGAUGUGGCUAGAAAAACACCUUUUUUGCGGGAGGGCAGCCGGUCCAUCCACUAACACACAGGCUUUGGCCGAGGCACUAUCGAUAGGUGCCUCUGUUCCUCUUGGAAAGCACCUAUUGGGAUCGGUUUACCAUAUGCUGCAUCAGAUCGGCGUCAAGCUAUCCAAAGGAGAGCCGAUUGGAAACCCAGGUGGACCCUGGUGGUUCAUCAACUUGUGGCUUAAUCUAUAUAUGAGCAAGAUCUCCCAGCAGCGAGUGGAGUACAUGAUGUUCCCCAACAUCGAAUCGGCAGAGAAUCCCACUGUACGGUGCCGGUGUACUUCCUUCGGUGAAGCGGCAUCGGCCUUCUCCGGUUGCUCAUAUUCUGCUGCCAAGGUGGCCGAAUACUUCAGAUGCUUCUACAAUGGCUUCAGCAAAGACGCAACCAGCUUGUUCCCUUAUCAAAGGGAGGAACCACUCUUCGAGCUCCCCUCCUGUUUUGACUCGGCCACCAGCAAAUUUGAUGAGGACCUCACAGAUGAAUUGAUCAAGCCUCUCGGGGAAGGAUGCCCCCACUUAUGAGUUUUACCAUCCUUCCGUCACAGCACGGCAAUUCGGCUUGGGUCAACUGCCGAUUUAUGCAUACUUCACCGGCCGAGCAAAAUUUCGAGACGAGCUCACCAAAGGUCUCCACUACUACGAUCGGAUUCCAGACUCCAGCACCAUAGACUUGGCCAGUUGGAUAGUAGCCCCUUUCGCUGUUCAGCAGUUCAAGCUAUGGUGGGUGGAAUGGAAGCAACAUCUAUUCUGCGCCUCUACGGCGAUAUAUUGUAAUCUCCUGAAUCCCGACAACAUCGAUCCGAAUGCUGAGGUAUCGCUCUCUUUCUAGCUGAUUUUCAACUCCUUUUUUUUUAUACUGACUCUUAUUAUUAUUUCAGUCUGAGAGCCAUGCUCCCCCAAAAUGCAGUCGGAGUGGUCGGUCGAUAGAGGACCGUUAUCCAUACACAACAUUCCCCCUCAUCGGCUAUCACGCCCCCUCCGUUGAUGACAUAGCCGGCCGAGCGAAGCAAGCGCAGAAAAAGAUUAUCAAGAAGACAAGUCGCCGAGUACGCGCCCGCACAGAAUCGGCCGAUCCACCCGUGGUUGCAUCGGCAGAAAUUUCGGCUACGCCGACCCUUCCGGUCGCUGAAGAAGUUGACCUCCAAGCCGCUAAAGAGGCCGGAGCGGCUGCCGCGUCAUUGUUGGUGGAAGCUAUUCAGGUAAACUCACCAUCCGAUUUUCCUGACAGUCAUUUCAAUACUGACCUUUCCUUUAUUAGGCCGUGCAGAUUGCCUCAGCAGAUCCACAGCAAUCUGCAAUGCCCCAAGCAGAAGUUGAAAUACCAGUGCCCCUUCCCGUUGAGGUACAUGAUCUCUCAACUCACUUCUUUAAUAUUUGAAUGAUGAUCCUACCAACCUUGACGCAGGUCAUCGGCACGUUAACUAUGCUAUCCGACUAGCCAUCUGCCAAAGAAGUCCUUCAAGAGGCCGGCCCGAGCAGAACGCCGAUCGUUGUCGAAUCCUCUUCUUCCGAUGAGCCAAUGGCACCAGUCCCCGAGUCGAUAGUGGUUGUUCCACAAACGCAGAUGGAGGAGAUCCAUUUCAAAGAGGUGAGAAGUCAUUUGACUCGCAUUUACCGAUUCGUCACCACCAUCGGCUGACUCAUUUUCCUUUUAUUUAUCAUUCACAGGAAUAGGACACUCCCAAUAAUAGCCUCUUCUCAUUUGCGGUCGCGCUCUCUGAUGACGAGGAAGUUGCUUCUCGUCAAGUUACUUUGAGCUCCAUCCCCGAUGACGUCCGCGCUAAGCUUGAAAGUAUACGGUCCCUUCUUUAAGAGGACAUCAGCCGAUUGGUGGAGGACGCCUCGCCGAUUCGGCAGCUCUUUGGUGACGUCAACGGGCGAGUCCCAGAGGAAGCAGAAGAAGCCUUGGCACCGGCCGCUUAUAUCGAGUCGAUGCGGAUCCCGGUCUUCAGGGCUCUGCGUCACAUGGCCGAUCGCGCCAAGCUGGCCAAGACUCGUGAGGAAGAGGACUCGUACAAGCAACGGGCCCAGGAGGUACACCAUCGGAUUCACUUCCUCGAGAAUUCCCGACCUGGACUCGUCGGCACGAUAGAUCGCCUCAAGCACCGAAGGGCGGAACUUGCCAAGGAGAUGGAGUAGGUAACCAAAGAAAUAGCUAUUGAAGAGAAGAAGCUUCAGGAACUCCCUUCCGUUAUCGCCGAUUUAAAGCAGGAGAGGCAGCAUUUGGCCCAUGAGGCCCUUAGACUCCAUCGCCAUAUGUCAGAAGUUCCAGGGUCGGCAGAUGAUGACCAACGAGUCUUGGACUCGGCCGAUCAGAUCAGGCAUCGAGCGAUUGCGGCCAUUAACGCCCUUCUGGGUGACUUGUAAAAGUACUAGCCGUUUUGUACGAACAUUAAUGCCUUUUGACCGUCCUUCGCGGCGCUCUCCUAUUUAUUACCCUUUUUACUCUGACAGGACGCGUCUUACCAAACCUCCGCUCUUCCUCUUAUUAUAAAUACCGGCCCUGGUUUCGCUCUUGAGAAUACCUGCUCCACUCGAUUCCUUUUUCCCCCAUUACGUUUCCAUCGGAACGUUCGUAGUCAUGUCUUCUUCAUCUUCUUCUUUCUCCUCUCCUUGUAUCAAUCAGGUACGAGGUCCGUCUUCGCCCUUUUUUCAGUUUGAUCCCUUUAAAUCGUUCCAACUUUUAGGCGGCUAUGUGCUAACUUCUUCAGCCAAGGCACCUUAUCCCUGAACUCGAAUGAGCAAUCGAACUCGUGCACUCUAAUGAGUCGUUGUCGCAAGAGGACAAGGACUUGAUCAAGGAACACCGUGAAGAACUCAGAGAUCACGUUCCUGCCGACGUCUAACGGAUCUGGGACUUCAUCGACGGCAAUGAUUACGGGCGACCGCAAGUUGACAGGAGCCACCCACUUCCUCUUCCGGUUGUUCUUGAAAACGCCGCGGUAGGGACAUCGCGCCCGGUGAUGGAUCGGAGCCAUCCUCUUCCUUGCCAAGUUGAGGCGGAGGCCGCGAUGAGAGAUGUGGCAGAACGAAGCAUUCGCCUUCUAAUGGAAUUAGGUAGGAUUGAGAGGGAACUCAAGAAGAAGCGUAGUUGAGUAUUUUUUGUUCUAAGGGCGAAGUGUACUGUGUCGGUCGUGUAAUUCAUCGUUCGUACUGAAUCACAAAUCGGCCGAUUUGAACGAUUAUUUUUCUCCUUUAGGCGAUUUCUUCUCCCGUAUCGGCUGUGUGAUCGUUCAGGGAGCGAUCUUUCUGUCUUGUCAAUGCCUUGCGAUCGAUUCUUAUGUUCCGACCCAUAUACUGGGGUAAUACCUUUUCAAGUACCUCCCGUUUAAGGCCCUAGUAAAUUCUUCUCCUUCGAUCAUUUCCAGAAUGUAAGCGUUUCCCAGGGCACAUCGGCCGAUUCUAUACAGCCCUUCCCAAGUGGGAGACCAUUUACCGAAUUUAGGAUCUUUUGAUCCAAUCGGCAACACUAACUUCCAUACCAGAUCCCCUUGGGAGAACUGCUUGACUUUGACCUUCUUGUCAUACCAUCUGGCCACUUUCUUUUUGUUUUCCUUGAUACUGAUCAAGGCUCUCAAACGUUGGCCCGCCAAAUCGUCGAGUUCCCUAUUCAUGAGCGAGGAGUAAUCAUCGGCCGUCAGCUGAUCUUGAAGCGACGUGCGUCUCGACCCUGUUCUCAACUCCCAUGGCAAUACUGCCUCAUGACUGUACACCAAUUGAUAAGGAGACACCUUGGUAGCCCCAUGGCAGGCCAUCCUGUAUGCCCAUAGAGCUUCGGUUAGACAUAAGUGCCAUUUUUUGGGUUGUUCUUCGAUCUUCCUCUUGAUCAACUUGAUUAUCCCUUUAUUGGAAGAUUUGGCCUGGCCGUUAGCCUGAGGAUAGUACGGGGAGGAAUUUAGCAACUUGAUUCCCAUAUCGGCCGUGAACUCCUCGAACUCUCCCGACGUGAACAUCAUCCCUUGAUCAGUUGUGAUAGUCUGAGGGAUGCCGAAACGAUAGACAAUAUGAUCCCUCACGAAAUCGACCAUAGCGGCCGAUGUUACGGCCUUUAAUGGAACCGCCUCCACCCAUUUGGUGAAAUAAUCUGUGGCUACCAGAAUGAAUUUAUGUCCUUUACUUGACGGAGGAUAAAUUUGUCCAAUGAGGUCUAUUCCCCAACCUCUGAACGGCCACGGCUUGAUAAUUGGAUUCAUAGCCGACGCGGGCGCGCGUUGCACAUUCCCAUAUUUCUGACAAUCUUGGCAUCCUUUAUAAUACUUGAAACAGUCCUCAAGGAUUGUCGGCCAGUAAUAUCCAUUAUUCCUAAUCAUCCACUUCAUCUUAUGCGCCGAUUGGUGGGCUCCACACACCCCUUCGUGCAUUUCUCCCAUCAGGGUCUUUGCCUCCUCCGUCCCUAGGCAUUUGAGUAGAACACCAUCAAUCGUCCGGUAGAACAAAUCAUUUUCCAAUAACACAUAUUUUGUGGCCUGAAAUCGUAUUCGCCAAUCCACUUUCUUAGAUGGGUCUUUUAAAAAAUCGGCGAUCUCUUUUCGCCAGCCGUCGGCCGCGAGUUCCAGAAUCAUGGCGCCUUGAAUCGGCCGAUACCCGAACGCGUGCUGAGCCAGCCUGUUGGCUUCUUCAUUGUAAUCCCUGGGGAUAUGCUCAAUAACUGUGGAUUUGAAUUCUUUCAGAAGUUGGAGGCAAUCCUCAUAGUAAACCCUUAAUACAUCAUCUUUGCACUCGGAUCUUCCUGUCAAUUGGUCCACGAUGAGCAUGGAAUCUCCAAAAACCUCGACGGUGUCGGCCUUAAUUUCUCUUAACAAUUGUAACCCUUUCAGGACAGCCCGGUAUUCCGUCUGGUUAUUAGUGGCGGAUGCUUCUAUCGACAGAGAGAAAUCAUAGCAUGCCCCCUGAGGCGAUAUGAGAACGAUGCCGAUUCCCGAUCCGGCCCCACAUGACGAGCCAUCAAAAUAUAAGGUCCACGGUACUGGUUCCACGACAGCGAUUUUUGGUCCGCAGUGUUGGGCGACGAAAUCAGCCAUAACCUGACCUUUGAUGGCGUUUGCCGAUUCGUACCGUAGAUCAAACUCUGAUAAAGCCAAAAUCCACUUUCCGAUCCACCCUUUCAAAAUCGGCAAUGACAGCAUAUACUUUACUACGUCAUUCGUGCAUACAACCACGCAUUCUGCCGAUAACAAGUAGUGCCUGAGCUUGGUGCAUGAGAAGUAAAGACAUAAGCACAGCCGCUCUACCGGGGGAUAUCUUGAUUCGGCGUCCAAAAGUCUUCUACUAAUAUAAUAUAUUACCCGUUCCUUUCCUUCGAACUCCUAGACCAGUGCCGAUCCGAUAGCUCGCUCAUCGGCUGAUAAAUACAGCUUGAAUGGCUUACCAGUUUCUGGUGGGACCAAGUACUGCUUGAUGUCUUCUAGUGCCUUGCGUUGCUCUUCUCCCCAUACGAACUCUUGGUUGGGUUUCAAUUUCAACAACGGUGUGAAGGCCUGGAUACGUCCAGAUAGGUUGGAUAUGAACCAGGCAACGUUGGUAAAGAAAACUGCUAAGAGUAAACUAAACAACGCUACAGUAGCAACACUAGGAACGGAUCUUAAUCGGCUAUGCAAAAAGUAGUAAAUUGAGCAAUAAGAUAUAAAAAAGCCGACAGUCCUAAUUCCAAGCUGGAUAACUGGUGAUAAAACUAGAACAAUAGGCAAAACCUAGAAUUCAAGUGAUUAUCGAUAACUGGUGAAUAAAUCUAAACGAAACGACAGCAAUGCGCCCGAAGUUAAAGCUUAGAUAUUACUCGAUAUGCGGAACUUACAGAAUCAGCCGGAGAUCAAGUUGAUGCAGCCCCGCCAACCCGUACAAACUCGUGAAAAGAAGAAAAGUAUUGGCGAAGUCGCCUGCUCGAAAGUAAAGUGCGAGAAAAUAGUAGUUUGUUGUAUUGAUUUGAUGAUGAUUACAGAUCUAUGAAAGCGGCUAUUUAUAGCCUGUUACAACCAAUCUCUUAACCAACUAGGACUCUAUCUCUAAUUUUAAACAAAAAUGAAUAUUUACAAGCAUAAUUCCUAUCGGAGUUGGUCAUCGUGUUCCCAUGGGCCGAUCUCCUUUUUAUCUUCAUAGCUCACUUUAGGCCCAUAUUGGCCCAACUGCUCCAGCCUCCCAAUCGGCCGAUUUCCACCAACUCCAUCCGCCGAAAUACUGCAGCACCAAUCGGCCGAUUCCCAAUCGUGACCUCCGUGUUUCGCCGCAUCAGCUGAUUCCUUCCCUUCUUGACGCCGAUUUCAUAUGUGUCAAAAUCUGGCGUCAACACAUACAUAAUGAUGGUAUUGUUCCUACUUUCAGGAUGAGGUAUUUACUAUUGAAGCAACAAUAAAUGAAAUUAAUGCAACAUAUGGUUGGUACUACAUCUCAUGUAGUAGAGGCGAUUGUAAGAAGUAACUUGAAAAGAUGUUUGAUCACUACUAGUGCAAUAAAUGUGACAAGAGAGCCUAACCUAAAGCACGGUAAAUUAGUUAGUAGUUUACAAUCUUAUUAUAGUACUUCUAUUUCUAAUAGAGAAUAAUAUUUGCAGAUUCAAAAUUAAGCUUCAAAUAAGUGAUCCAACAACAGUGCACUUGUGUACUUUUGACAAGGAAGCAGAAAUUAUAAUUAAUGAAUGAGCAGAUUCGAUGAUCACCUCAGUUGAUGAUGAUAAUAAGUAGCUACCAAAAUCAAUUCAGAAAAUAUGUGAAGAAACAUUGAUUUUUCAAUUCAAAUUGACCGAGUACAACUUGACAAGUUUUAGACCUGAUUAUACUGUUUCAAAGAUAUUUUUUCCAAAAGAAAAGAGCAGUUCUAGAAUUGGUAUGGAAAGUGUAAAAAAGGUAACACUUUAUUCUUAAGUUUUUAUUGCACUUUUUUCUUUUGAAUCCUUAAUAUUUAAUAAUUUUACUAUAUCAAUGAAACAAAUUCUAACCUAAAUUUACAACUCAGACAAAUGCUACAUGAUAACUACCGAGAAUGAAGAGGUAGACACUGAUGACUCUUUUACCGAGAAAGUAACAUUCGUAGAAGAAGCCAUAAGGACUGGGGAAAGAUUGGCUAGAAAAGUAUACUCACUUCCAUCUAAGUAUUCAUUCUAUUUACAAUACAUGCAAAAAAAUAUUAUUCAUGCAAAAUUGCAGGUCUACUAAGCAUUAAAGGAAUAGCGGAUAGUGCAAUAUCUAAUUUGAGCAGCAUGCAUUACAAAGUGCUCUACUGCAAUUAAAUUAAAAAACAUGAUAUAUGUUGAAUUCUUAGACUUUAUUAUUAUACUUUUCUAUGUGACAAUUCACAAUUUUUUAGAAAAAAGAAGAUCCCAGAAGAAGUGACCAUGAAAAAAGGUCUAUGCCCAGCAAUAAGAAAAAAUGCAAGCAUAGAAACAAAUCCGUAGAAAACAUAGAAAAUAAGGUACUCCAUAAACAAAAGUAUUCUCUUAUAUUUUUAUUAAAUAUUUCUUUAACACUUGACAAGUUCUUUUUUAGGAUCAAUAUAUCAGCAAUUCAGAUGUCAUUGGAGAUGAAAACCUUAGUUCGUCCAAAAGGUCAAAAAAAACAUCUGAAGAAAGGUGUUUGGCUGAAAAGGAAAAGCAAGAAAGUUGUAAUGCAGACAAACACAUGCAGAAAAAUAUAAAAACAUGUAAUAGGGAGGCAGACCAAUCUUGCAAGGAGGUAUAGACGAAACGUGAUACACGACCUGCCUACCUUGUCGUGGAUACCCCAAGAAGAUGUCAUAGAGGUGCAGACCAAGCUAGCAAGGAGGUCGAAACGUGAUACACGGCCUGCCUACCUUGCCGUGGAUAUUAGCCCUAAGAUCAUUCUACUGUUCAAGGAAUAACACUCAAUGCUGCUGCUGCUGCUGACCUGGCUCCAUAAAGUUAUACUCCUCUAGGUGCUUGCACUAACUUUAUCUGAAGUAUUAUUCUCUCUGCACUGUAUAUAUGGUUAUGGAGUUUGCUGGAGUAUCCUGGGGGAAGAACCUACAUAAUACGUCUUGGAACUAACUGACAUUGAUUCACAGACAAACUCUACAAGGUGCUGUUGUUGCCAUUUUAGAGCAUCCAAAGGACUAUAAAUAACAUAGUUUACCAUAUACCAUAUACCAUAAUAUGUUAGCUAAAAUAAGAGCAUACACAUGUUGCAGGAGUCCAAAAGCACCGGUUGAGGACCAGGUACAUUGAAUUACUAGAAAAAGACAGGGGACAAGGUUUAGGUAACCACAUGAAACAUUUGAAUUUACUGUACCAUGAACACUUAGUUACCAUGCCGGGAGCACAUAGUUAACACUAACAUUUAGCCACUUUAGAUCACCCCGAAUCACCAAUGACCCUCAAUAGUGACAAAUUUUGGUUUAAAUGCCGUCACCAAUGAUCCUCAAUAGUGACGUAUUUAGGUUUAAAUCCCAUCACUAAUAACCCUCAAUAGUGACCUGUUUUGGUUUAAAUCUCAUUACCACUUAUCCUCAAUAGUGACGUGUUAAAACGCGUUAUCUCAAUGGCAAAUCAUUGGUGACGUGUUUUAAAAAAACAUGUCACUGUGAGAGUCAUUGGUGAAGGGUAAUUAAAAUGCGUCACUAAUGUUGUAGCAUUAGUUAUGAUAAUUUAGUAAUGCAAAAAUCUACCAUCAGUAAUGAGCUUUAGAGCCAUCGCUAAUGUGGGUUUCUUACAUAGUGAUGCAAGCUCUACAAGGUGCUGUUGCUGCCAUUUUAAAGCAUCCCAUGACUACAUGUUAAUAACAUACUUUACCAUAUACCAUAAAAAUAUUAGUUACAAUAAGCACAUACGCAUGUGGAAGAGUCCGAAUGCACCGGUUGAGGACUAAACACAUUUAAUUACUAGAACCAAAUGUAUGUCCAGAACAAAGACAGGGGUCAAGGUUUGGGUAACCGCAUUAAAAACAUUGGAUUUUACUGUAGAUGAACACUUAGUUACCAUUACCAUGCCUUGAGCACCUAGUUACAACAAACAUUAAUUUAGCCACUUUAGAGCUUCCAGAAUCGCUAUAAAUAAUAUACCUACGCCGUACCAUGAAAACAUCAAGAAGAGAGACGGAUACAUGGACCACCAUCAAGCGAGUACUGACAGCACGCACAAGAAUACCCAGAACCUGUUAGCUUGUCUGUAGUGAUCUGUUUUCUUCCCCAUAAAAUCCAUGAGUAUUGCCACAAAUAAUGAAAGAGGCUGACCAAGCUAGCAAGGAGGUAGAGCAAACGUGAUACACGGCCUGCCAAGAUUGCCCUGGAUACGCCAAUAAGAGCGACAGAUACAUGGAUCACACCAAUAUGGUGAAACGUAUAUUCAUCACACAAGCAAAGCUGGUCAGUUUAUCCAUGGUCAAAUUGUGGUCUUUGUUUUCACUUGAGAGCUAAUUGAGGCACUAUAAUAUGGGCAGGCCUAUCUUCAACAGACAUGACAGCUACAGGGAACUUGACAUAAUUUGCUGGACCGCCUGUGCACAAUUAUUUGUUUUAUUGUCCUUGCAUAGAAUGCUAAAAUACUCUUUACAAAAUGUUGGAUCUAAUAUUUGAAAUAUAGAGUAGUAAUCAUAUAUUGAUCAACAACUUGAAAUUAUCUGUACAUUCUCGGUGAAGCUGUUGAACUAAUUUUUGCAAAUUAUUAAUUAAUUCAUCUCAUUACGUAAAGAAAACAGUAAGUGGAUAAGAUAUUUCGUGGACCACAUCACUGCAAACAUGUCAUGGAGAGACAGACCAAGGAGGCAGGACGUGAUACACGACUUACCCUAGGUUGCCGUGGAACCGCCAAGAAGAGAUACGGAUACAUGGACCACACCAUCUUGGGAGUAGUGACAGCAUAUAUGCAGAAGAAUACCCCGUGCCUAUUUGCAUGCAUGUCUCAAGUGAUCUGUUUUCUUCAGAAAAUACAUGAGCAUUGCCAGAAAGAAUGGCAAGAGACAAACAUGUCAUAGAUACUUGCAUGUCUUGCCUUGGAUACGCCAAGAAGAGGGACACAUACAUGGAUAACACAAAUCUAGUGACACGUAUAUUCAUCACAAAGGCAAAUCUGAUAAUUUUAUCCAUGGAGCAGACCAAGCAGAAAUUGAUGACGGACAUGUGAUCUCUGUAUUCAGUUGAAAGCUAAUUGAGCUACACUAAUAUGAGCAGGACUAUAUUCAAGAGACUUGUUGAGAGCUACAGGGAACUUGUAAUAAUUUGCUGGGCGGCCUGCGCACAAUGAUUUGUUAUACAUAGUUGAAAUAUUUCAAGAAUUUAUCAACCUCGUACUCUGAAACCCUUGGUGCAAUGUACUCUGCUUUCCGAGGUAGACUGUUCACGUAAAAUGAGGUCAUGCGUAAGACGGAAUCGGAUUGGAUUCGCAGGGAAUCAGAUUUGGAUAGCACCUUUUAGCCGGUUUUUAGUCAAAUGCAAAUUCGGAUCCAGAUGUGGUUGAAUGCGAGUUCAAAAUUCUACUUGGAUAUCCAUUUAAUUUAGGUGAUAGCAAUUAGCACAAAAUGUUGGAAGAACAAAAUCAUAGUUAGACAUACAAUUACAUGUAUUGUUAAAGUAUAAUACAAUACACCAAGAUUAUUCCUUCAAAAUAUUUCUUAAAAAUAUUAUAAUAAAUGAAUAAAUAUAAUUGUGGCCACCAACAAAUAGUCGGUGGUCACUAAGUUGGAGCCAUUUCUGGUUACUAAUGCGGCCUGCUCCUCGACCAGCGACGACAGCUGAGCUUGUUCCUUCUGACACCAAAUCAUCAGAGUCUUCCCUCCACUACUAUAGAAUGCACCUUUAGCACCAAUUGGGAAAUCCCCUUCAGUAUCGGAUGCUGCAACCUGUGCUAUGAAAAUGGAGACUAAAAGCCUCGGUCUUGGGUACCGGUUGCAUGACGCAUUACUAAAGGAGGCAAAAGAGAAAUGUAACAAAAAAAUAUUUUGAAUUCCAAGAAUGUUUCACUAUUCAAGAUGACUAACUGAGAGUCAUCAGACAAGAUACUAGGAAUGUGGGUGCUUGAAUGCAUUUGUACAGAGGUCAUACUAUUUACAAACUCUUCUGUGUUUCCAUAUGACUACCUACUUCAAUGUCACGCGAGCCAUUCAGGACACAUGGCACACAAGCUUGCAUGUCGAAUCCAUGAUUAAUUAUUUCCACUUGUGAUCUCUUACCAGUAUUUGUCCAGACUAGAAACGUGCAACACAUUUUUUGGAUAUGGACACGCAUAUAUUUGGACUAGUAUACAGGUCACCUUUGGAUGAGUACAAGGAUGACCGGGAGGGACUAAUGGAUACAAGGAAGGGACCAUCAGGAUUAAUAGUGACAUAUGCCACAUGACAAUCUUCAUUGUCAUGCAAUCCCUAUCAACAAUCAUGGAAUCCCUAGUGUACUAAUCCCUGGAGGGUUGUGUGGAAAUUUAUUUUACCUUGCGGUGAAAAUCUCAUGAGCAGUCAUUAGUUAAGCUGACUAGCUGAGAUAUAAUAGACAAGCUAGUAAGAUUGGGAGCAUCAAUGCAUCCAUACAGGGUCACAAUAUCCUUUCCAUUCACUUUUAUAUAUAACCCUACGAAUACAAGUCCAACGAAACGCGGGCCUUUCGAUCAAGAUAAAUUAAAUGGCCCACUUGUAUUUCUAAUCCAGGAUUAAUUAUGCCCUCUGUUCAUCUCUUGCAAGCACGUGCAACACAUUUUCACGAUAUGGACAUGCAUGGAGGUUAUUAUACUGUUUGGACAAACUCUGAUGUGCCAUGACCUGGGCCUGUUUGGUUUGAGUUGCUUAUUAUAAGCAACUUAAAGUUGCUUAAAGUUGCUUAUUUGAAGUUGCUUAUUUUUAGUCUAAACUGUUUGGAUACCCUUGCUUAUGAGCAUUGAAUGAGAUGGACAUUGUCAUAUUUGCCCCUUGUGUAGCUACCCCUCCAAUUUGCCUCCCCACCCUUCUUCUUCCUGCACACGCCCGAUCCCGGGGGCCGACGGCGGGCAGGGAGCAGCAGCAGCUGGCUGGGGCGGCGGUGGGGCGGGAGCGGCGGCGCACACCAGCAUGCGCUCGCACGCCAGGUGCUGGAGCGCGGCGAGGCAGUCGUCGUAGACCGCCGGGAGCGGGUGCUCGGGCGUGAGGCGGUACUCGACGGAGACAUCGAGCGUUGGGCGCGUGGCGGCGAGCGCGUUGAGGAAGCGAUGGUAGUGCGGCGACGUCGCGGACUCCGCCACGAAGCCGCCGCCGUGGACGUACACCACCACGGGCAGCUUCGUCUUGCCGUCGGCGGCCACGGCCGCGGCCUAGGGUGGCAGGUAGAGGCGGAUGGAGCAGGAGCCGAGGUCGACGUCCCCGGAGUCGACGCCCGUGGCGGCGUCCAGGCCGGGCCCGACCGGCGGCGGCACGAGCGACGCAGCCGCUCUUGUAAAUCCAGCAGGUCUGCGCGGAGGCGGGCGGCGGGCGGGAGCGGCGGCGGGUGGUGCGGAGGCCGGCGGCGGCGGGUGGCGCGGAGGAAGGGGAGCUGGUGAGUGGUGACAGGGGAGGGGGGAGAGAGAGAGGGGGGUAGGGUGCAUUGAAUGAGGGCAGGAGGUGUAAAGUGCACCUUUUAGUCCCCAUAAGCAACCAUAAGCAGCCCAAGAGUUGCUUAUUUACUUAUAAUAAGCAACCCCAUAAGCAAGAGUGAUUGGUUUCAUAAGCAACUUAUUUGCUUAUUUUAAGUUGCUUAUGCGUAAGCAUGUGAAACCAAACAGGCCCUUAACCUAUGGUUGUGGCACACAACCAUACAGUAGAUAGUAUUUAAUAAUGCUAUUCGUUUGGUAUGUGCAGAAGGGCACGCAUGAAAUGUCUGGCCCACGGUAAACAAGUACGGACGCUGCAAAUAAUCUACUCUGCUCGUCCAGUCCCUAGCCUAUAAAUAGAUGCCAUGCUAGCUCUUGUUGUGCUCACAAUUAAUCCGAUUACACACGAGCUUCUCUCCCUGGCCAAGACACAAUCAUAGUAUGAUGAAGAACAUGGCACUAGCCGGCAAUGGUAUGAAGAAGUUAAUCCUCGCUGUUCUCUUACUGUGUCUAGUUAUAGGGCAGAUACAAGUGGAAGCUAAGAGCUGCUGCCCAUCCACCACUGCAAGAAAUAUCUACAAUACCUGCCGUAUCACGGGUACAUCCCGUCCAACGUGUGCAAAACUGUCAGGCUGCAAAAUUAUCAGCGGGGACAAAUGCAAGCCCCCUAACGACCACCUCACCCUUGACCCGGACACUGGUAAAUAAUAAAUUUAUCUCACUUGAUUUCUUUGUGUUUUGAGUCGUUAAUGUAUUUUCCAUCUGAUGAAACGUAUUGGUUUUGCAUUGAAGAGGAAGUUAAUGUGCUUAACUUCUGCAAGUUGGGGUGUGCGUCGUCUGUGUGCAACAACAUCAACGCUGGUAAGCACCUUUUGCUCAGACAGAGAAAACAAUAAUCAUUAAUUAGCGGCAGCUAGAAUCCUAUAAUCUAAUAUAUAUAUAUAUAAUUUUAUCAGCUCUGGGAAAUGAAGAGGCGAACGAUGCCGUUGAGAGUUGCGACCAAGCCUGCUCUAGCUUCUGCAACGUGCACGUUGGCGCUGCCACCGUGGUUGCUUAAGCAAAUGCAUCCAACUGGAUCGUCCUUGUGCUGAAUAAUUGGAUAUCGUAUCCACUUAAAGCUGCCUUGUGUAGUACGUCUUUGUUUGUGUCUCUCUUUAUAUUCCAAUAAGGUCGGUGAUCUUGAUGCCACACACUCAGACGUGUGUUCAUCUCCAGAUACUACUCCAUGCUACCUACCCUUUGUGUUUUGUUCAAUAACUGGGUAUCAUAUUCCGGCCAGUGUGCCAUCUGUUUUGUGUUUAUUUCCUUCUAGUUCCAAAGGGGUCAUCAUGAUGUUACCUUCUUUCGAUAUGGUGCUUUGCAUGACUACUGUUGUAUGGUACCAUCUUGUUGGCCAAUAAAUACAUCUUAUCCUAUGACCCUUUGCUAUGACCCUUUGCAAAUAAGUACAAGAUUGUUAAAUACUCGGUAUAAAUUGACUACUGUUGUGAGUUCCCUUUCAGCUUAUUGUAGGCAUACAUUAUUGCUAGCACGGUGAAGACAACCAACACGAAUGAUCAAGUAAACGUACCGGUACUUUUGUAUACCAACACCCUUGCUUAAAUGUACCGGUGUUACUCCCCAUUGGCACAUAUAUUCUUUUAUGCUAGCCGGCUUGAAAAUUAACCGAUUAAAAUAAUUAUUUCAAGAUAGAAAUAACUUAUCGGCUUCUCGAAGCAUGUGUAAUGUGAAUUCAAGGACUCGAUGGAAGUUGAAUCGCUUCAUCUAGAUUGCUUUCAGGAUUUUGGGUAACUAAAUUUAACAUUUGCACAUACAAAUGUUAAUGUACAAAUGUUAAAUCUAGUUACCCAAGCAGAAUAUGAAGAUACUCUAUAGUAUAUAUAUACUAUAUAAAUCUAGUUAACAUUUAGUCUAAAUGUUAAAUCUAGUUACCUAAAAUCCUGAAAGCAAAAUGUAUAAAUAUAUAUCUUUUAAGGAAUCCCAAAGCAAGAGUUCAGUGGCAUUCUAUAGUCCCAUGCUGCUAGUUUGAGUUGGUCGAAGCCAACUUAAAUAGGAGAGCUCUCUCACUUCUCUAAAUACGUAACUGAAGGAGAGAAGGGGGCUUGGGUUAUACAAUGCACGCACGCACGCAUAUUUGCGUUCUUUUCGCGUAACCAACCAUGUGACUUGAAACUUGCGACGUAGCGUGCUGCCAAGUCAAGUUGAUAUAACCUUUUUGCCGUUUGCGUGUAAUCUUUUGACAACGGUCAUUGGAGGUGAUAAGCACGCAGUCAAUACCUUAAUCCUGAGUUAAUAGGGUGGUUACUACUGCCAAUUAGUGGGGCAAUUUUGUAGGGGAAACGGUUAGCAGAGGGCUACCGUCUUCUCUAUAAGAAGUUCUGGAGACGUCCAGAAACACACAUGUACAUGUGAGAGACCCACGAAUUCCUUCCCUUCUCCCUUUUCCAUCUGAUGAAGAGUGCUGUGGUACUGAGCUGCUGGAUCUCACCGGCUCUUCUCCUUGGCGUGCACUGAGGAGGGUGAGCGGUAUCUCCGAGCUAUUGCCGUCAGGAAGCCUGCACGACGGACAACAAUAAAGUUUUUGGGUAGCGCAACUGUGCAACCGCUCGAUUCGAUCGACUAUGUUAUGCGCUGCCUCAUCUUCGAUCUACACUGCAACGCGUAACCCUGCAGCAAGUCUACACGAGGACGGAGCACUAAUCUGUAAGUCCUAGAUUGGUUUCUUACAAAGUUGUAGGUUACACAAGAUCUAGAAUGUUACAUACCUAUUAUUAUGGGUUACAUGAUGUUUUGUACGGUUACGUCUAUUUUGCAUAUGCUAUUUUUACAUACCGUUUACAUGCAUAUGUUAAUGGUUACACCUAGCUAUUUGAAUCUAGAAUUGGGUUACAUAGUAGUAGCAAUGAGUUACGUAAUAUGCCUCAUGUUUAUAUCUGGUAGAAUUUAACACGUAUCUCCAACAUAUUUUGAGGCAGUAUAAAUUUCAAUUCCUUUUGCUGCUCUGUUAAAUACCAUCUUUCGUUGUGGCCCAACACUCUAGUAUGCAUGUAGCACCAAGCUUGUUUGAGCUGCUUUGUGCUCUGAUUUUGCUAUCUGUAUCAGGUUGGACUGUUUCUUUGUCUUGCGAUGUAUAGCUUCAUAUCUUCUAGAGGUUAGACAGCAAAACCCGCGUUCUCUUAAGGCAACAACUCGAAGAAUCUGCAGUGCCCCUGAUAUAUCACUGCUGCAGAAACGAUCUUUAGUACUGAUCUCCAACCCCCUUUAGUAUUGGUUUGGCAAUCAGUACCACUAUGUCGGUACUAAAGGGAGUUCUCUAGAAUCGGAUCAAAUAACCGGUACUAAAAGGGCUCCUUUACUACCAGUUGGUAACACCAAUAGGUAGUAAAUAUUUUGCACCCAAAAAAUUAAAGAAAAACAGCUGGGAGGCUCGCGCACACACGCAUCAUGAGUAAUAUGUGCGUGCAUGGUUUGUAGGAUUCCAACCCACGACCAAGCUAUAAGCACGUAGUUACAAAAAAUUAAACACUUAGACAUUUUAGAGCAUCCCAAAUAACUACAAAUUCUAUAGUUUACCAUAUACCAUAAAAUAUUAGUUAAAAUAAGAGCAUACACAUGUCGGAAGAGUCCCAACGCACCGGUUGAGGAUCAGACCAGGCACUUUGAAUGCACAUGCCAUAAGAUAAUUCUGCAGGACGAUGAUUGCAAUAAUGGACCAUCAAGAAGAUAGGGGCGAUGGGGUUGCCUCAUCAAUUAUCACUUGGCGCAACAAGACCAGCAAAGUCUUUAUCGACAGGGGUGGAUCAACGGGUGGGGCGGGCAGAGCUUCAGUCCUCCUACCGCCGCUCGAACAAUGGAGCCCCCCUUAGCCCCUCCAUAAAUUUUUAGGUAGAAGAAAAAAGAAGAGAAAGGAAGGAAGGGGAAGAAGAGGGAGCCCCUCCUAAGUAGGUCGCCAUCAUGCUUCCCAACGCAUGAUCGCCGCACCGCAUCCAUUCCUCUACAAGCCUCCAGCGUCUCUCCCGCCGCUACCUCUGAACCAUGUGCAGCUGCAGACCCAACUAGUGUCUUGUCCCCCAUCUCAGUCCCAACAGAGCAGCGGCGGUUGCCAGCACAAAUCUCCCUCCGCCUCUUCUUCAUGGUCGAUGGCCGCCACAAGCAUAAACCUCACCUUCGCAUCCACGCAAAAGGGUCGCUGGGGUGCCUUCUUGCAUCGCUUCUCAGCCUCCUUCACUUGCGGCCAGCCAAGAACCGUGCCACCACCUCGGGUGCGCGCCACCACUCCAGGGCUGCUACCCCAUGCCUGCGGCUGCCGCCGGCCACCACACAUGUCCCGCCGGCCACCACACGUGUCCAACCGCGUCGCACCGCUUCCCUGCUCUGUGCCACCACUUGUACCACCAGCUCCACCACCUUGGGCUGGUCGCCAGGGUGACUGAUUGGUGGAUUGUUACUAAAAAUAAGUUCCUUAUUAUCUGCAACUACUAUUAACUCACGGAUACAUGCAUAUUUUGCUUCUCCUGCUAAUAUGUCCUAAAAUAUCUAGGAUGCCUUAUAUUUCUGGAAAGAGGAAGUAUUUGAAUAAAAUGAACCAAUUUAAAAAAAUGUGUUAUACACUACUACAGAAAGACCUAUCAGUGUCAAACCCAAAAAUGUCGUCACCGCCAGUUUUAGGCACCGUUGGUGAAAGGUUGGCGGUGAUGGGCAUCCCCUUCAACAACGGCACUGGAGCCGACGGUGAUUGGCAUUAGAAAACAAAAAAGGGGACCCUACCUAGCCACCCCUGCAACCCGGCCAGCCGUGCCUCCCCUCGUCCCCGCCACCUCGCCUCCCCCGUUACCCCCCUCCGGCGCCCUUGCGCCUAGCCCCCUCGCCUGCCCGACUGGCCACCCUCGUCACGAGAGAGAGAGGUGCAUGUUGUAUAAUUGCGUGAAUUUUUUAAUGUUUAAUUUCAUGUAAGUUUCAUGUAAUAAAUUGUACAAGAUUUAUUGUAUAUAUGAAUUCCAUAUAUAUAUAUAUUUAUAAUUUAAUGUAUGGUUUCAUGUGUAUAUUUCAAUCAUGUGUAUAUUUAGUAGAUUGCCGAUUUUUUUUUACUAGACAAGGGUUGAUGUAUAAUUACGUGUAUAUGUUUAUUGUACAGGCAAUUAGGACAAGUUUUGUAUAAAUUUCUUUUAUUUCAUGGUUGUUGUAUGGUUUCAUGUAUAUACAUUUAUUGUAUCACUAAUUGUAUUAUUAGUUAAGAUGGGAGCCAAAGAGGAUGAAAGGUAUAUAAUGGAGCAGAUUAUUGCUGGCGGUAGUGGCUCAAACGUUGCAAGAACCUACACCGAGGGUGAGGGUAGCUAGGUGGACAUGUACCUCAACAUGUCCAGUGAUGGCAAUGGUGAUGAGGAGCACGAGCAUGACGUUUAUGAUAAUGCGGAACAAGACAUUGCAGAAUUGGAAGGUUCUAAUGAGGUGUGUUUCAUGUUGAUGAUCUGGUUGGCUUUUUUUCUUUGGUCACACCUUAGUUACCAUAGAACUUCGUCUCGGGAGAAGAUUAGUGGUGCUAUGGUGAUUGGAAUUUUAUUGCCUCCAAAUCUGAUUUCCAUCGAAUCAUAUCCCUUGUAUUUAUCUUCUUUUUAUUUGUGAGAGCAUCUUCUUUAUGCUUGCAAAACAAUUCAAGUGCACAUACUACACCUAGGGUGACGAUUAGGAGUAGAAACAAUUGCCAACAAACCAACACCACAUCCUAAGAUUCUUAACUUGUGGCAUAAUUAGUCUAGUAAAAAGAAAGAUAAAAACCUAAUGGGUGUACGUGAGUGCAAUGUGUAUAUGCAUAUGAGUGGAAGGCAUAUAAGCAAAGAUAAUAUUUACACAUAGUUCUAAACACCAUGUUUACAGCUAGGUUGCUGAAUUUCUCCAUAGCUAUAGAGAUUAAUUAACCAAGGUCAAAACACCAUGUCUAUCCCAAGAUCAGUAAUUCUUUAUAGCACAAGAAAAAGAAAGCGCAUUGCAAAGUUUAUAAACCAACCAAUGCAGCAUGAAAACAAGAUGAAUAGCUAGCAAGGUUUAUUAAACUGAAUGAUGAUGGUCUGCAAGCAAGUUUAAACACCAUCUUUACACAAGAUUGCGAAUGGAAAAUGCCCAUAUGAAGCACUAACAUGGAUAUGAAAUCAUUCAUCAUAAAGCGUAAAGAACAACCAAGCCAACCAUAUGCAAAGCAUGAAUGGAAUGCAAUGAAGGUGCAAGAGAACAUUUUUGGAUGAACACAUUAUAAUGAUGGCAAAAUGCAAUGCAUGCAGAAAAAAUAAAUAUGAACAUGAAUAUGAUGAUCAUGGGGCGGACCCACUAUUGUGGCCUGGGUAUUCCUGGGCAUACCCAAUAUUUUUGGGAAAAUGUUUAGUAGUUUUUAAUGGUAUAUACAUGUAUAAUAUAGUUUAGGUGUUAAAAUUGAUAUUCACAGCUAUUUUGGGCCGCAAUUCGCGUCCAAACCAGCCUGGCCCACAGACCACACCCGGCCGGCCGGCCCAUCUAGUCACUGAUCCCCCCACCACCACACUCAGCCCGUCAGUCGGUCAGGUCCCGAGCUCCUGCCUGACCUAGUCCGCUACCGCCGCCAGGUGCCAGGCACAGCCGCACGCACCACGCCGCCCCCGUCCGCCGCACGGCCGCGCCGCGCCCCCCAGCCCCCGCGGUGAGAUCCCGCCGCCCGCUACCGCCAAACCUCAUUAGGCCUCCACCAGCAGGUCCACCCACAAUCCCGAGCGACGCGGCAGCCUCUUGGCUCUCGUCGNNNNNNNNNNNNNNNNNNNNNNNNNNNNNNNNNNNNNNNNNNNNNNNNNNNNNNNNNNNNNNNNNNNNNNNNNNNNNNNNNNNNNNNNNNNNNNNNNNNNCCCCCCCCCCAUCGGGCCUCGGCCCCUCCCCAGCUCCCCCCCUCCACCAGGACUGCUGCUUCCCCCCACUGCGAGGUAAUCAAAAUCGACUGCUCAAUCUCUCAAUCUGUUGACAUGAUGCACACGGUUGCAAAAAUAGAUGUGUCAAAUAGAUGUAUUGCCAAUUGCUAUAGAUGCAUACGGUUGACAUGAAGAAGUCAAAAAUGACAUUUGGUUCCUUGUAGGCAGUCAAAACUGAAGAAGUCAAAAAAUAUUGAUCUGAAAUCAAUGUGGGAAAGGGCUACAAAGACACACAGGUAGAUUCCCUUGUGAACUUUUUAUGUCGUUCGUCUAAAUAUUUUUUUGCAAUGGGCAUACCCUACUCUAAAAUCCUAGGUCCGCCACUAAUGAUGAUGGUCUAAAAAUAAAACAAGCCUAGAUUAAUUAGCCACAACUGAAAUUAAGCAAAGGCUAAUGUCAUUGACACUAGCUCUAUCCUAGCUUUUACCAAAGUCCUGGCACAUAUAGUGGUUGGGCCCACUCUCUCUGCUUCCCUCUCUGUUGCAUGCACGCACACGAGCAACGGGAGGCCCGACGAAGCCCAGAAGGGUUCGGCCAAACCAGUCUGAGCGCCGCUCCCUCCCAGCCUUCGCGCAGAUGCUCCUCCAACGUUCCUUGACCCCUCCCUCAGCGUCCCGUUGGGUUUAACAUUGCAGGACAGGAGUCCCUUUUUUAAAAUCUCAACCACCUCCUCUCCUCAUUCACUCCACUCUCAUCUCCAUCAAACUAAACGAGAUCCACACCAGAAAUCCCUGCUUACCACCAUGGCUAGCAAAGCCCUCGUCCCUUUCACCAACUUAGGCUUGACCACUGAUCUCGAUGGGGAAAUCACUCCGGCAAAUGUCAUUGUCCCUGUCGGGCGAUCUUGCGAUGGAGGAGGUCCAGGCACUAGAGGUCGAGCCCCUAGCCAUCAUACCGCCCAAGGGGUAAAGCAGGGGUGUGACAGGCGCUGCUAGGGGUUCAGCCAAACUCCUAGUUCGGCCAAACCAGGACGGCGCCGCCUCGGCCUCCCGCUCGACUGCACGCUCGCCCUUGCCAAGGAGGACUCUAGAACAGCGGGCGCGAGCGUCAAGUCCCUACAAAAGGCUGAAAUACAAUGAAUAUCCAGGGCCACCCUUGAAGAUGGGUGAACGCUACGCCGGGUCCUUGUUUGACUAGUACGGCGAUGCAUUCUGCCACCGCUAUGAGGAGGACUUGUGGGCAGAAAGUCGGCUACCACAAACUUGCCUCCGAAUAUUUGGAUUGCGAACCUUGGAUGGUGGUUGUGGAGACCCCAAGCCAUACCUCGCACCCUUGGAGAGGUAAUUGGCUGGAUUGCUUGGUUCGUCUCUAGAAUGCGACAAGGUCAGGCGCCACCUCUCACUGCUACCAGUUAGAAGGCCGAGGGGCCAGUUUCAACAUAGUAAUGAGAAUCUCCGAAGGCCACCAUGGUUAAGCAGCUAACCUCCAUGAUCAUAGACUUACGUUUAGAAAAUAGGAGGCUUAGCGAUGCGUUAACAGAGCAGAAGUUAGAAACAGAAGAACUUAAGGACAACUUCCGUGUCCUCCGUCGUGGUCUUUGUGCUAAGAUAAAGCGCUUGUACAAUGCCACGGGGCAUGACGGUCUCUACGAUGCAGCUCAAUAGACGUGCCCCUUGUAUCCCUUCCUUUAGGCACUUUAGAAUAUGUUUAUUUGUUUUCCUUCAUUUUAAUUUCCAAUCAGAUUGUUAGCACCUCCAAUUUAAUUUCAAUAAAGUGUAGACUCACCGGUCAUCCAACCUGAUGGAGUCCUUGUGUCACUUAGUUGUCUUUGGAAGAAGUAGCUAGGUACAAAAUAAGUGUGGGGGAGAGCCACGGACUCUCUAGAGUUGAAACAAUGCACAACACCCACAAAUAGAGAAAACCACGCUGCACCAGCACGUACGUGAAAGGGGAGCCAGAGCUGGACCCAUAGGGGUUUGGCCAACCCAGGGUGUGGCCCACUCGGGCCAUCUUCAUCCACCGCGUCGGUUUGUGUUUCUUUACCCCUGAUCUCCCUGAUUCAUGAGUUUGAAUGAAUUUUAAAUCUGACCAACUAAUUCAAACUCAACUAAAAUGAAUCAAUUGCUCCACCUGCUCUACAUGUUUUCUAUGGUUGGCUUGCAUAUGUUUUAUUCCAUGCUUAUCAUCUUGAUGCUUGUGAACAAAUAUCUUUAGGACAGCAUGCUCAUCUAAGUAGUUGAUGUGUAUGAUAUGGUUUGAUGAUAUGAUCUUCGCUCUUAAUGCUUAAGUGCUUGGAAAAUUCUAUUUGAAAAUUUAAAGCCUUUUUUGAAAUCUCCUCUUUGAUGUGCCAAGGUCCUACCAAAGCCGUAUGAUAAGUUGUCUUGAAGAACCAUUUGCAUAUAUUGCUUGUCUUUGCAUUAAGCUUUGUCAAAGUGGUGUGACCCUUGAAGAACCAUUUGCAUAUAUUGCUUGUCUUUGCAUUAAGCUUUGUCAAAGUGGUGUGACCCUUGUGACAAUUCUUUUCAUACUUUCAUGAUCAAGACUCAUGUGCACACCAUAUACCCCUUGCUAUGCUUCUAUGAGAUGUUAGCAUUGUACCAUCCAUUGAUUCCACAAAAUAAAUGCUCCACCAUAUGUGUUGGUCUCCUUCUAAGAUUAUUGUUACAAAAGAGAUAUGGGCUAUCAAAAAAAAAUAUGAAUGUCCUAGAAAGUUGGACACAUAAAUGUCAAGAGAUCAUACAAAAAGGAGUUUCCAUUCCAUCCACCACAUCCAUACACGUGCACAUCUUGAUCUGAUUGUAUGACUUAUUUUUCUCUUUGGAUCUGGUCUUUGACUUUGCAAUAUAUGUGAUGCAAGUAUGCCUUAUCCUUCAUAGCCUACCUUGAGCUCCACAUAUAGCCAUCAUUAGAAGUAGGAUGAAGAAAGGCAAGUCUAAUGCCUUGGUGAGGACAUAUACACAUUGAGUGAUCUGAGAGAAUCAAAUGAGGAGCUAAGCAAGGUUUUGUUUUGAAAACUAAUUGAAAAAUCCCAAGCUACUUGGCAUAUGGAGUUGCGGUGACUUGAUUCAAGAUCAUUCCAUUCCUCAACUACCCAAGAUGGCAUGAUAGACACUCCAAAGUUCACAAGUGCAGGUAUGGUUUGGAAUAUCUUUUAGGCUCGCUUCAUACCUUUGAAAGUUAUGUUUCACCUUAGUCCUUUCUUCUUCACUCGAGGAUAAGCAAAGGCUAAGUGUGGGGGUGUUGUUGAUGGCUCUUAAGUACCAAAUCUGCACCAUCAACUCUUGCAUAAACACAUAAAAUAUGAGCAUCAACAGUAGUGGUAGCAGUUAUUACAAACGAAUUCCACAAGUCUUGGUGAAUAUUUGUAUGCAGGCCCAUUAGGAGAGAAAAGACACCUCAAGAGCAAGGAAACACACUCUCAACCAAUCAGGAGCAAGCACAUGGAACCAUGGGCCCACAACCGGAAGGAAAUCGACUACAUUCACCACCAAACACCCUAUACCCACAUGAGAACCCAUAGGCAGUGACCCAGAGCAGAGGUGGUGCCAGAGUGUAGAUGGCAGUUAGCAUGCCAAAUUGUGAACCGCAAGCGCACGGAUCAAUUGUUGCUUUUCCCUUAGAGAUUCCCCCAAGGUUUAUGAAUCCAUGGAAUAAGGGAUUUGCACGUUUAACUAAGCACUAAUCAAUGUAAUUGAAAGCUUUUCGAAUAAGAUAUGAUUAUGCUAACAAAGGAACUAAGCAAUCUAGAUUAAGAUGGAUAGAGAGUAAAGGUUGUGAACAAGAUAGAUUAAAUGCUUGUCCUAGGGAUCUAGGAUCACUUGUAGAUGGAAUCGCCAUGCAUAAAUGAAUUAGAUCUAGGUGUUAUCAUGAGUGGUUGUGAACCAUGCCCAACACUUUCCCACCCGCAACACUGUCACUACAUGUGGGUACUCAACUAUCAGAACAUAAGAACACAUCAAGAUGAUCAUUCUAGGUAAGCAAAUAAGCAACCCAAAGUAGUGCUGGCUAGCCUUUUCAUGAAAGAGCAUCAUCAAGAUAAGAUUGAUAACAAAAUAGAUCUCAACCAAAGGUUCAGCGAUUACAAAUCAAGAUCUCCGUAUAACCCCGAUGACAAAUAGAGGUAUUACCCCCAUGAUCUUACACAUGUUGAUGAAUUUUGGGGUAAAGGACACCUUGUAGAUCAAUUGGACCAAAGAUGAUGAUAAACGGGGGCAGGGAAGGCCCAGACCGAUCAGCCUGGGCACUUUUGAGCCGAUCAGCUCAGGGGGUUUCCUCCUCCCCUAGAGAUCAUGGUACACUUCACGCUGAAGAAACAAGAGAUCGACCGAGCCCUGGGAUAGACCAUGAGGAUCAGCCUAGAGGGUCCUAGGCCGAUCGGCCUAGGCCCUUCCUAGCCCUUCUGGUCCUCUCCUUCCUCAUGCUGGCUUUUCUCGACGACCCUUAUCCAAAUAUCCAUUAAGCUCUCUAUACAUACCCCCUUGAUUAUGUCGUAUUUCCUGCCAAAAUACAAUGCUCCAAAAUACAACACAUAUGCAAUAAUAGGGUUAUUUUAGGUGCCAAUUGGUGGGUUAGUAUACGAAUAAGCAUGAAAAUACUGAUUAAAUGGCACUAAAAGUGUGUCAAUAAUGAGCACCAACAAUCCCCCCACGCUUAGAUCUUGCUCGUCCUCGAGCAAGUCUAGCGACUAAAAGAUCUUGAAUUAAACCUGAGCAAGCGAGUCAAGUACCUAGCCUUGAAACAAAAGAUUAGAGGAGCAGCAAAGAUAAUCAAAGUCUGGGUGUUCAAAGAUUUAUCUAAGCAAAGAUUCCCCUACAACUAUUAUUCAGAACCAAGUAACUUCAAGUAUCAACUACACUUAUUUUUUGGCUUUUUUCAGAGGGUUUUUCUUUCAUCAUAAAACAAUCUCCCUGCAAAAAAAUUGGAAAAAGAAUUAUUUUCCAGGUGCUUAUAUGUCGCUUAAAUGAAUGUUGGCUAUCCUACUUAUUUGCAAGCUCUCAUCUCUCAAAAGUCAUUCAAUUCUAUGGUGGAGCUUGGGUAAGGUUAGCUAGAAUCAACACGUAUAUUAUUGAAUUAAGAAAACCCUCUAACGGUGGCCUACCUUCCGAGCCAUUGAUCAUAAGAAUAUCCACAUAAUGUGAAGUUUUCAAGGAUGAGAAGAUAUAGAAUGGUGGACAUGUGCAAAUGCAAAGAAAUAUAGUGACUCUGAGGCACAAGCAAUGUCCUCGUCAUUGGAUUGCAUAUGGUUGGAAUGAAAAUCCGUUCCUUAAACAAGUCCAUCUUUUCUUUGCACCACUCUUGAUCUUCAUGACAGUAAAAACUCCUCCUUUAUUUUUUUCUCUCUUUUCCUAUUAUUUCUUUUUAUUUGUCUCAAUACUUUUCUUUCUUUCUUUCUUUAUUUUAAUCUCUUCUCUGAACCUCCUCUGAACACCACACAAUAAAAAUCAGUUUUAGAUCCUUCCAGAGACCUUCCAUGAAUUUGCUACAUGAAAACUGAGGCAAGGAGACCUCAGGCCGAUUGGCCUGGCCACUCCUUUGCUCUCCUCUAGCUCUUCUUUCUGGUGAAGCUUCCAUAUCUUGUAUCUUUCCAAAAAUUUCAAUAAGCUCGACUAGAAGCAGAACAGAUCUUCAUAUAAUGAGUUGUGUUCAAGGAAUUGGUAAUAAAAUUGAGAAAUUUGUGGUCCGGGUUUACGAAUUCAGUACAAAAAUCUGAUGGUUCCAAUGAAGAACUCUCAUUACUGAAUAUUGACGAGGCAAGCAUUCAAAGAUGGUAAAAAGGAUAUGAUCAAUUCUCAAAAUUAAAGCAAACCAAGAGAGAGCGAUCCUAAUUCAAUUCAAAGUGUCAAAUAUUGCUUAUGGUGGUAUGAAUAAAUAUUUUUAGGCAUUGGGUAGGAUAAAUAAAAACUCUCAACCUGGUUAAAAUAUAUUGAUCAAUCUUGUUUUUGCAGAGGUUUUAAAUAAAAAAUAAAAUUUUAAAUCACCUCCAAUUCAAAGCCUUACUCAUAAAUCAUAAUCAAAACUGAAGCACUUGAUCAUCAUAAAGCAUGGGUAUUGCAUAAACAAAUUGAUUACUAAAACUCCACAACUACGAUUUAGAAUUCAAGACAAUGCUCAUAAUCCAAAGUUGCAAAGACAAAAUAAAAGACAAGCAAGCCAAGGUAGACACUAAAAACACUUGCACGAUCCUUGAAUUUUAUUCAUGCUUCUUCUCACAAAGAUGCUAAAGUAGCCAUGUAGGCCUAAGUCUUCCCAAAAGCUUAAUAAGAUUACUACUUUAUUUACUUUUGGUUGAAAUAAAAACACUAAUUUAGACUCUCACAUGACUCGACUCGACCAAACUAGAUCCAAAAACUCAUAUGAGCGACGAUCUCCACCCCCCCUCACGCUUAAAAUCUACGACCUCCUCGUCGUAACCAUAUGGAGUACAUGGAAAAGAUGCUUGUAAAUGCACUAAUGACGCUACCCGCACUACUUGCACAUGGGAUGGUUGCUGCUUCCUUCACUUUGUUCUUCCUCAUGUUGCUGCACAUCUCGAAGAGCUUCCUCAUGUUCCUCUGCAAGAACUUGAAGUCGUCCUCCUGACUUGCAUGAUGUCAUCGACAGCAUCGAAGAGGUAGUGGAUGUUCUUCCUGCAAGCUGCGGAACAUGUACGAUCAUGCUCCUCUGAUUCUGGCCCGUCGUCUUCUAGAUCCUUCUCUUUGCCCUUGUCUUGAUGGUGGCCAUCUUGCUCCUUGCUCGCCUUCUUGCCUUCAGCCCAAUCCCAGUACGUGUUGUCAUCUUCUUCAUCAUCACGGCCUGCAGCACCCUAUGAUCCAGGGCUCCUAUCGUCCUCCGAAUUGCUAUCACCUCCAUAGUCAGCUGGCGUGUACUCGGGCAUCUUCGCUAUGUAGCUCUUGCGCUUCAUCAUGAGGAGCCUUGCUGAAAUCCUUGUGGGAGUGACGACGACCUCCUUCUUCUUCUUGGGUGCUUCAUCUUCGCUCGAGAAGAUGAUCAACAUGCGAUUCGCAAGCUUUCCGGAUGGUGCCUUGCCUCCAACACUGAUGUGAGCGUUACGAGUAGUCCUUGGUGGAGUUUUGGGACCCUACUCACACCUCUUGGCUUCCAUAUGAAGGGUGAAGGUGGCAGCCAAGGGAGGGGGUGGUGCUGAUCGGCUUGGGGAGGUCAGGUCGAUCAGCCUGGCCGCCUCCUUCGCCGGCUGCUGCCCCCUCUCGUCUCCCGAGCUCCUGGACGUCACCACUGCACUUUUUUUUUGGUUUGGUGGAUCUGAAUUGCUUGUGUAGAUGCAAAACUCAAGCUCCAAUUGGCCUCAUUAUAUACUCUUGAAGUCUUUGUCAAGGAUCCACACAUUUCCAAAAACUUCCUUGCCCCUUCCCGCAAAAAUUCACUUCCAUAAUCUGUUGUUACCAAAGAUGUGAAAGAGGGAACUGAAUCGGAAAUUACAUAUAUUUUUAGACGUACGCUCUGCCUCCCAAAUUUUCAUGGCAGCGCGUAUGUCUAAAAAUAUAUGUAAUUUUUUGAGUCUUACACAAAAUUCAAAUGAAAAUAAUAGAAUUUAAGAUAGUGUAUGUACAAGGUACCUAUUUUAGUGUCGUCAAGCUUGACUUGGCCAUUCUUCCUUCAUGGUAUAGACGUCAAUAGAAUUGAUAGGCACGAUGUCGGCUUCCAAGAAUACCUUUAGCCGCUGUCCAUUCACAAUAUAUUGAUCUCCUUUGACGUCCAUGAUUGUUACUGCUCUGGUAGGUGACGCAGAAUACAUGACGUAUGGUCCACCCCACUUGCUCAUCAAUUUUCCCUUACCGAAGAAUUUAAACAUGGAGUUGAACAAUAACACUUUAUCCCCUUCUUUGAAUUCCUUCUUAUGAGGCCUUUUAUCAAACCACCUCUUGAUUCUUUCCUUGUAAAUGCUUGCAUUGUGGUAAGCUUUAAGCCUCAUCUCUUCCAAUUCACUUAUUUGAAUCCUUCUUUUUACUCUCGCAGCAUUAAAAUCAAGAUUCAUCUCUUUUAUGGCCCAAUAAGCUUUAUGUUCAAGUUCAACAGGAAGAUGACAUGUUUUUCCAUAGACAAAUUUAUACGGGGUCAUACCUAUAGGUGUUUUAUGAGCUGUCCUAUAUGCCCAUAAUGCUCCGUCUAGUUUCUUUGACCAAUCCUUCCCUCCUUUGACUAUGGUCUUUUUCAAUAUAUCUUUGAGUUGCUUGUUUGAAGUUUCUGCUUGGCCAUUUGUUUGAGGAUGAUAGGCUGUAGACACUCUGUACUCAAUCCCCAGUUUCUUCAAACAUUUGCCAAAAUCUUUUUCUAUGAAAUGUGAUCCUCCGUCGCUUAUCAAUAUUCUGGGCACUCCAUACCUAGGAAAUAUUAUCUUCUUGAUCAUGUGAAUUGAUUCCUCUGUUGAUGCCUUCCGACAUGGGAUAGCUUCUACCCAUUUAGACACAUAAUCAACUAUAACCAAGAUGUGCUCAUAGCCAAGUGAAUUUAAGAAUGGUCCCAUGAAAUAUAUACCCCAAACAUCAAAUAGAUCCACUUGCAAACUAUAGUUCAAAGGUAUAGAAUUUCUAGAUGAAAUAUUUCCUUUUCUUUAGCAUUCUGAGCAAGUAGCAAUGAACCUCUUUGCAUAUUCGUGCAUCUCUAGCCAAUAAAAUCCCCUUGCCCAUACUUUUGCUUGAGUUUUGAAGUGUCCAUAAUGUCCUCCAUAUUCUGAUGAAUGGCAUUUCCUAAGCACCGCAUCUCUUUCUUCUCUAGGAAUCCAUCUUCUCAAUACUCCAUCUACUCCAUACCUAUAUACAAAAGGUGCAGACCAAUAGUAUUUCUUAUUUUCAGCAAUAUUUUUUCUUCUGUCAUUCCUAUCCAAGUGAUGCAAGGGCGCCCUUUUGAAGACUCUGAUAAUGUCAUGCAUCCAAUCAUCCUUGUCAAGUAUUCUGUAUAAAUGGUCAUCUCUCAUUCGAUCUUUAAUUGGCUCCUUCCCAUUAUCUUGUUGGUACAUCCUCGACAAGUGGUCAGCUACCACAUUUUUUGACCCCUUUUUAUCUCUAAUUUCCAUAUCAAACUCUUGUAGUAACAAUAUCCAAUGAAUCAGACCUGGUUUAGCAUCUUUCUUGGACAAAAGAUAUUUAAUUAAAGCAUGGUCGGUGUCCACAAUCACUUUAGAAUACACAAUAUAUGAUUUGAAUUUUUCCAAAGCAAAUACUACGGCAAGCAGCUCCUUCUCUGUAGUUGCAUAAUUUAUUUGAGCCUCAUUUAAAGUCUUGCUAGCAUAGUAAAUUGCGUGUACCUUCCCUUCUGUUCUUGUCCAAGUACUGCUCCAACAGCAUAAUCACUUGCAUCGCACAUUAUCUCAAUGGGUAGAUUCCAAUCCGGAGGUUGAAUGAUGGAUGCACUGAUAAGUGAUUGCUUUAAAGUUCUGAAAGCAUAGAGACAGUCUUCAUUGAAUUCAAAGCUCACAUCUUUCUGUAGAAGUUGUGUUAAUGGUUUUGUUAUCUUCGAGAAAUCCUUAAUAAAUCUUUUGUAGAAUCCGGCAUGUCCGAUAAAGCUUCUCAAUGACUUGAUGUCUGUUCAAGGAGCUAACUUUUCCACAGUUUCAAUCUUCGCUUUAUCAACUUCUACCCCCCCCCCCCCUCUAAGAUGACAUGCGCCAGCACUAUUCCUUGCUUCACCAUAAAGUAGCACUUCUCCCAGUUUAGAACUAAAUCAACUNNNNNNNNNNNNNNNNNNNNNNNNNNNNNNNNNNNNNNNNNNNNNNNNNNNNNNNNNNNNNNNNNNNNNNNNNNNNNNNNNNNNNNNNNNNNNNNNNNNNNNNNNNNNNNNNNNNNNNNNNNNNNNNNNGCGUUGAAUUGAUGUGGGCGCAUUGCAUAGACCAAAAGACAUUCUUCUAUAAGCAAAAGUUCCAUACAGACAAGUGAACAUCAUCUUAUGUUGGUCAUUCGGAUGUAUAGGAAUUUGAUCACUAUCCUGUCACUAUCCCCUGGAGAAUUAGCUCAUUCUUCUCAUUUGUCACAACAGUCAAUCUAUCCUUCUUUGGCACGCAAUGCACUGGGCUUACCCAUUCACCGUGUGGUACUGGAUAGAUUAUUCCAGCAUUAAGCAAUUUGAUCGCCUCCUUCUUUACUACAUCACGCAUAGCAUGCUCAAUCUUCUCUAGUUCUCCACAACUAGUUUGUAUUGAUCUUCUAAUUGUAUUCAAUGAGUGCAUAAGGUUCGAUUGAUUCCUUUCAAGGCUUUGAUUGUAUAUCCAAUCACUUUCUAAUGUUUUCUUAAUAAAUUCAGCAGCUUCUCAGUUUCUUCCUUCCUCAACUCGUUGUUGAUAAUGACUGGAUAUGUCUUGUUGUUCCCCAAAUAUUCAUAUUUUCAUCCCUUGGGUAAUGGCUUCUGCUCAACAUCUGGUGCUUUAGUCUCUUGCUGCUCCAAAUCUCCAAUGUCUUCAAAUUUUUUUGCUUCUAAAGUUCCGUAUUGCAGUGAUAAUGCUUCGGUUGCUUCUGCCAGUUCAUCAUCCUGACCACCCUCAUUGUUUUCCAUUGCUCUUAGUAGAGGAUCCCUGAAAUUUUCAGCAAAACAUACACUUUCUAAUUCCUCGUUAUCAGGAAGUAGAGGUAGGGUUUGUUGAGAAGCAGGCAAAAAAUUAUAAGUGUAUUUGGCACUGCCAAGAUUAAUCGUUACUUUGUCCUUCCCAGCAUCAACCACAACAUUAACCAACUUAAGAAAAGGUCUACCAAGGAUAAUAGCAUCAUGGCAAUCAUCAAUAACAAAGAAGUCAGUUGGUAUAACUUUUCCCGAGAUAGCAACAUCUAGAUCUCUAUGCACACCUAGAAAGACUUUCCGUAUGGUUGCACGUUUCACUAGAAAGACUUUCCCUCAAGUCGGUCUUUAUGUGAUCGGAGUAAGCUAUUGGGACAGGAUCCUCUACCGAGGCUGCCCUCUUACUCCCUUGUACUGUCCUUAAUAGUUUCUAACUCUUUAGUUGGUAAUUUUAGAUUUAUCUCAAAAACUCACACAUUGUGUUUGCAUAUUCCUAGGGAGUUCUAUCUUCUAAAAUGAUGCUCGAUCAUCGAUCUAGUCAUGAUCGGGGUAAUUUAUGGGAUUUUUUGCUAGAAGUGGCUUCAUGUCAAGGCGAGAAAGAGAACAGAUGUGGGUUGCUUCUGUAGGUUUGUAAAGAGAUGAAAGUUAGAUUAUUAUCUUGGUAGAUUUUAAUAUCUAUGAAUACAAGGGGUACGUGCUAGGAAUUACCUUCAUUAAAAGUCCUUAGCACGUUUUCCUAGGUUGACUAGAGCCCUGGCUUCUCAAUCUUCAGGUCUUCCGCUUCUACUUCUUGUUGGGGUCAUUGGAGCUUCCACCAGGAUCUCUGGAGUCCGGAUCUUCCAUUUCUUGUCGCAAUUCGAGCCUUACCAGGCUAACGCAUCUACGCAUCUGCUGGACGGCCAAAAAUUUGACUUCACAUAUUUUUUUGGAUCCUUGGCUUCCAACCGGGUCUUGGUUGUGUCCUCGCCUCCAACAAGCAUGCAAUCAUACAAAUAAUUCUAACAAUCAAUUUCUUGCAAUCAAUAUAUGACUAAAGGAAAUGGAAAAAGAAUGGAUGAUGGAUGCUUUAGGAAUUAUCAGAUUUCUAAGGAUAAUUCCAGAAUAAUUGAUGGAUAUCUUAUCCAUUAUUUAGAAAUAUUUCUAAAUAAUUGAUGGAUAGGAUAGUUGGAUUUCUAGGAUAAUUUUAAUAAAUUAAUAAUAGAUUUUCGAGCAGUACGACCGCUAGGGUUUUGUUGAUAUCUAGGGUUUUGAUUGGGCAACAUAUCAACUAGGUUUGGUUAAUAUAGGAGGUUUGGAUUGGGUACUAUAACGGCUGGGUUUUGGAAUGGAUCCUAAGUGUGAUUCGGGCGCUAGGUGUUGUGAAUGGAUUUCAAGGCUAGGAAACUUGCAUGACAAGCUCGGCUUCGACCCUACGACGGGUGGAGCUAGUCAAGUUUCCUUGGGCUUGGGUUGGCUGUCAGGCUUGAGAGUUUGUGCGACGGGCAUCACUUCGACCUGACCUGGUGCUAGAAGUUAGCAACCCAGCGAUAGGUGGAGCCAAGCAAGACCAAGUGGAAGCUAGAGAGCUUGCACGACAAACUCACUUCGACCACUAGGGUGGAGCUCGGGCAAGAUCAAGUGGAUGGAAGUUAGAGCUUGCUUGACAGACUCACAUCGGCCACUAGGGUAGAGCCUGGGCAAGGUGACCAAGGAUGGGCAUGGGAAUAGGCUUGGAUGGCUCUAAGAUAUUUUAAGGAAUUUUCCUAGGGUUUUUGGAAGUGAAAUAAAUGAAAUGCAACUUUUGGUGUGCACUUUAAGAGGGUUUUUCUACUAUGUAAGUAAGAAAAGGAUAUUUUGGCGAAGGGGUCAUAUGAGGUGAUCAAUGGGAAAGGAACACAUGGAUAGGUUUGGAAUAUUUUGGAAAAUUUUAGGAACUUUUGGAGUACAUGAAGGGCUCUAAGUGAACUUGUGUGUGCAUUUGGCUAGGUACGCAUAGCAAUUUCAGGAGCGCUGCCGCAACAGGGCGGGGCUGCGGGUACUGUGGUGUGGAACCGUGGUCACAACGAGCGAGCUGCGCAUGUGCAGUGGGCCGAGGUAAGGCAGGCUGAGCGAGUGUUCAGAUUUAUUUACCGACACAAACAACAACCAGUAAAAUCAACAAAUCAAGCACAAGAGAUACAAGGAUUUAUUUACCAAAGUUCAGAUUCCUUCAUCGAGGAUUCCUACAUCUCCGUUGGGUUCUUCCAAUAAAGCCGAGUCACUCUCAACCCUUUCCCCACUUCAUAUCUUGAUUUCUUCCCCUACGGAGGCGAAAUCAAAGCCUUCACAAACUUUUCAUGGCACACCACAAGCUUGGGUACUCACCAGGUGAUGCCUAGCCAUCUUGGAGGCUUGACCUAGCCACUCAAUCUGUCAAUCUGUCCACCCAACGCAUUUUUCUCUUCAAAUCUGAUAGGAACACUCAAGCUCUAGUAACAAAAUGGAGGGGAUGGAAACACAGAAGCGUAGUGGUGGGUGGAUUGGAUAAAACUAGCUAGAAUCACUUGAAGAUCACUCAACAAGAUCAACUAGCACCGAAUAUUACUCUACGGUUUUCUCAACUAGGAUAACUCGGAGAUUACUCGACGAGAUCAAUUAGCACCGGAGGUUACUCUACGGGUUUCACAAGGAAGAGCAACACUCAAUUCUCGUAUCAUAUCAAUUCAUCAACUCUGCACAACACAUUGCAUAGCAUCCCUUUAUAUAGAGAGGGAGAGACAGACACUUAAUACUUUGAACUCUUAGAAAAAUUAAAUGGACACUUAGGAACUGACUCCCUAAUUACUAGUCUUAGACUCUAAGAUACAUAUGACUCUUGGGAAACAAAGAGAUAAUAAAGCAACUGAAGAGUCUUGGACUUUCGCGCGGCUUCCUGGCAGCCUGCACACUUUACACUAAAAUGACCAUAACUCUUGACUCGGAAGUCCAAAAGAUGCAUCGUUUGUGGUGUUGGAAACUGUGCCAAUUAUUUCUCUCUUUUUCAUUCUCUCUUGGCUUAUAUCCAAAAUCAUAGCAGCCGUUGUUGAACAUUGAACUCAGAUCCAAAAAUUCCAUACAUGGAUCCAAAAAAUUUUCACUGAUAUGUUUGUCCUCAAAAAAGAUAAUACUUGUUGGCGCAUAAUAGAUAGAAACUUCAGGAUUAAUGGACAGAAAAGUGUUCGUCUCAUCACUUUGAAAGAAAUCAUCCAAUAUAUUUUCAUUAACAGAUUCAAUAGGAUCAAAAUCAAUGGAUAUAUUUUGCUCCUCAUCAUAGAUAGGUGGCAUGCAAUAACACCACUUCUUGGAGACACCAUACGAAUCAUAAGAUGCCAAACCAUAAAUCUUGCAACAAUGAUAGUCCAAAACUUCCCAUUUGCUGCAAACCAAGGACAUCAAGUUGAUCAAAAUCAGUACCUUCAUAACCAGUAGCGCCAUGAAGAGCAGCUUAACAUCCAGAAACAUCACAACCAGUAGGAGCCCCACAAGCAACUUGAUGGCCAUAAUCCUCACAGCCAGCAGUGGCACGACCAACAACCUCUUGACGAGGUACUUCACAACUAGCAGCCUCAAGACCCUAUAAGCGUUCUUGUACUUGACGAUUUUCUUCUCCAAGACCUGCAAGGAUCACAUCAUGGUGAUCAUGCUCUUGGUUGGCAAUGUCGUUGUCGGAGUCUGCUUGAUGACGUUGAUGACAAGCCAUCAACCUUAAUCCAGAUGAUAGAAAUCUUGAAGCAUGGAACAAUAGCUCUGAUUAUCAAAUGAUAGGAACACUCUCACUCUAGUAACAAAAUGGAGGGGAUGGAAACAUGGAAGCAUAGUGGUGGGUGGAUUGGAUAAAACUAGAAUCACUCGGAGAUCACUCAACAAGAUCAACUAGCACCGGAGAUUACUCUAUGGAUUUCUAAAAUAGGAUAACUUUGAGAUUACUUGAUGAGAUCAACUAGCACUAAAGGUUACUCUAUGGGUUUCACAAGGAAGAGCAACGCUCAAUUCUCAUAUCAUAUCAAUUCAUCAACUUUGUCCAACAAAUUACAUAGCAUCCCACCCUUUAUAUAGAGAGGGAGAGAUAGACACUUAAUACUUGAACUCUUAGAAAAACUAAAUGGAAAUAAAGAGAUAAUGAAGCAACUGUAGAGUCUUGAACUUUCGCGCACCUUCCUGGCAGCCUGCACACUUUCCACUAAAAUGACCCAUAACUCUUGACUCGGAAGUCCAAAAGAUGCCUCGUUUGUGGCAUUGGAAACUUAACUCAUAGGACUUUCUAAUGAUGUAUCAUAUGAAUACGGAAACCAAGUAGAUCAGUACCAGAAAUCCAUGAAACUUAGAGAUGUUGCUGCAUGUUCUUCCAACUUGUGUAAACCACCACCAUUUCAUGUAACCGGUUGGUUUACCUUCCCAUGAGGAUAUCAAAAUAUCUUGAAAAUCUAGAGAGGGGAGAGCUUCUUCGGUCUGUGAAUAUGUCUUUUUUGUGUGGGAAACCAGUAGCAGCUAAUGGGAGGCGGUGAGUGGUACAAAUACCUAUCCCAAAAAACUAGCUGUUGGGCUGUUAAGUUCCAGAAUCUCUGGAAAAAAUCUCCGAAAACUCUGGAACCCUAAAACUAGCCAUUAGAUUCAAAAAGUUUCAAACACUACGAAAAAUCGUAAAUUUGCCGAGUGUUUUUUCCUUUGUCGAGUGUUUUUUUUCGGACACUCGACAAACAAGCUCUUUGCCGAGUGCCGAGCUAAAAACACUCGGCAAAGAAAAAACACUCAACAAAGAGGGGCUUUGCCGAGUGUCAAAAACAAAACACUCAGCAAAGAGGGGCUUUGCUGAGUGUUUUAUUUUCACACUCGGCAAAGAAUUUUUUUUUUGAAAAAAAAGUCUUGCCGAGUGUCCAGAUUGGGACACUCGGCAAAUGUCAAAAAUAUAUCUCCCGUCCCCGACCCCCCUACCCCAGCACCCCACCCGCCCGACGCCCCCCUCCUCUUCCUCCGCGCAACACCGGCCCCCACCUCCCUCUCCCUGCCGCCGGCUAGCUGCCGCUGCCGCCGCCCCUUCCCUCCCUCCCUCCCUCUCCCUCUCCCUCUCCUACCGGCGCCCCUCCCCCUCCUCUCCCCUCCUCCCUCCCUCACGCAGCCGCCCCCUCUCUCCGGUGGCGACCUCCGGCCGCCGCCCCGCGCCUCCUCCCCGGAUCCGGCGGGGACUCGCAUCGGGGACGCCGGAUCUGGCGGGGACUCGCGUCGGGGGCCCCGGGAGUGGCGGUCUUCAAGCGGCGGCGUGGAGAUGUGGUGGUGGUGGUGGUCGGCGGGAGGCAGCUCGUGGUGGUCUGCAGGCUGUGGUGGUGGUGGUGGUGGCCGGCUGUGGUGGUGGCAGCGGGCGUGGAUGGUGGCCGGCUGUGGUGGCGGUGGCGGCGGUGCGGAUCGUGGCGGCGGGCGUGGAUGGUGGUGGCAGGUGUGGAUGGUGGCCGACUGCGGUGGUGGCGAUGCCGGCGUGGAUGGUGGCAACGUGCUGGUGGUGCUGCCGACGGUGUCGGCAUGCCUUUUUUUUUAUUUUUUUCAAAAAAAUUGUUUGCCGAGUGUUUUCUGGGCACUCGGCGAAAGCUUUGCCGAGUGCCCGACCGAAAACACUCGACGAAUGUUACUUUGCCAAGUGCCAGAUGCCGAGUGUAACACUCGGCAAAUUUGUUGCCGAGAGUAUUUUGGGUUUCGCCGAGUGCUCCUGGCGCUCGGCAUAAAACCUGUGUCCAGUAGUGGAAAUCUCCACAAAAAUCUCUGGAAACUCUAAAUAUUUUUGUUCUCUCAAAAAUCUACAGAAACUCCACAAAAUUCUCCGAAAUCUCUGCAACUUACCGAUUCUCCGUAGAAUUCUCUGGAAUUUCCGCAAGUCCACUGGACAACAUAAGUCACCCAAGAGAAAGGGAUCUUGGACUCUAAGGAAAUCUUGUUCAAAGAACUAUCCAGUCCAAUUUAAAACAAGCCACCAGAUCACUCAGUGCAAGUGUUGUGACAAGUGUUUCUCUCAUGUUAAAACUUGAAAGGAUAGGUUUGAGCACUAAGGCAUAGGUGAAGCAAUCAUUGCAUCCCUCUCGAUAGCACGGCAUUACAUAUACUCAAGAUCAAAAAAUAGACACAAUAUCAACCACUUGAGCUUGAAUACCUUCACCAUGCUGCUUUUCUUUAAAAUCACACUUUGAGGUGUUUGCAAGCAUUUCUUUCUCUUUCUAUCGGUGUUUUAGACCGGCAACCCGCCUAGGGGUACCCUAGGUGGUCUUUUAUGCGGUAAGGGUCGUCGAGAAUCAAGGAAUCAAUGGUGACACAAGGAACACGAUUUAGACAGGUUCGGGUCGCUAGAUCGCGUAAUACCCUAUGUCCUGUAUGCUUGUAUGUAUUGAUCUUAGAUGCACUUGGAGUUGUUCUGUUUGAGGGGGGUCCCUGCCCGCCCUUAUAUACACGGGAGGGCAGGGUUACAAGUCUGAGUCCUAGUCGAGUACAAUUACAGAGUUCUACUCGGUAUGGCCCGAGUAGUUUUCCAUAUGCAUACUUGACUAGUCCGAGUGGAGAAGCCUAUCCCUUUGUCCUGAUCAUAUCCGAGUACGUCCCUUAGUGGGCUGUCCAAGGUCUACUCGUGGGCCUAGGGUGCAUGCUCGACAAGCCCCCGAGUACUUUGUAGUCGUGCACUGUAGUCUUGAGUACUGUGGGCAUUAUCUGAGUAGUUCUUUUGUAGAGGUUGCGGUGUCCAAAGUGCUCGAGUAUUGUUCGCGUGGCUGGAAGGUACUCUUCUUGCUCCUUUGAGUUGCUUUUGUUCCGAGAAUUUUUUAUAUGGUAGUGCGAUGACAAUCGUACUCCAUAUGGAGUAGCCCCAGAGCCUUAGGUUGAGUCGAAGAGUCAGGCUUAGGGUCAAUCCUGCUUCUUGGCUGUUUUACUCUUGGUAAUCUGAAAAAGAAAAUUCUGACCAUCGGGUACGGUACCCGCAGCCCCCGAGCACUUAGGCAAUUUUUUUCGUUGAAGUGGUCAAGACCCAUUGAACAGAGUAUCCGUUGGGUGUUUAAGGCAAUUAAUUUGUUUAAAAACCCAUCCGUUGCGUAACUAAUGCUUGGAAUCCGGAGGUGGCGGAGAUAUAAUCGGAGGGCCCCCUUUCAGUUAGGUUUACGCCCCACUGUAGCAGAUCUGUUUCUCUUCUUCCCCCACCUUUCCAUUCCUGUUUUCCUCCACCGUGAUUGUCUAGCGCCGCCGCCACCGUUGCUGCUCCUCUGAGAGAGGUCCGAGGUUGAGUGCAUUUUGCUGCGGGUGAAGCCGGUGGAUGCGCACCAAGAAGAUGGGGAAAAAACCCGAGAAGGCUCAAGGCAAGGCUCCUGCGGCGGGCAAGGUGAAGUCCAAGAAGGGGAAGGAGGUGGUGCUACUGGCGCCGAAGGUAGGGCCGACAAACCAGACUGCGCCGCUGCCGCCUGGAGCGAUGUGGUAGCAUUCGGUGAUGAAGGAGGCGGCCAUUCAGGUGCUUGUCGAUGCCAAACUUCUGCACUCGAAAUAGGUACUCGAGUGGAGGCCUACCUUCGCUGACGCGUGGCAAUUCGAGAAGCAUCCGAAUGAGACGGUUAUGCUUGCUCACUUUGUGGAGAGGGGGUUGGCAGUGCCCACCUCCGACUUCUUCAGAGGUAUUCUUGAGUACUACAAGCUUCAACUUGUACACUUGAACCCCAAUGGUGUACUGCACAUGUCUAUUUUUGUGCACCUUUGUGAAGUUUACUUGGGAGUUCCUCCUAGUCUUGAGAUGUUUAGGAAGUUGUUCCGUAGCAGGCCUCAACCUAGUGCUGUUAGGACAGAGGUCUUUGGGGGCGCUGGGUUCCAGCUCAGGAACUCAGGCGCGUAUAUUGAAUAUAACUUGACUGACUCCCAUGGGAAGUGGAAGAAAAGGUGGUUUUAUAUUGGGAACCAUAACCCUCGCUUGCCGGUGGUCACUGGUCAUGCGCCGAAGCACGCAGAGAAUUGGGUGAGCGAGCCUGAAGAUAGCCCAGAGCUCGAUCACUUAAUUCCCCAGAUUGCUGAGUUGAAGGCACUCGGUUUGACUGGAGUCAAUCUGGCAGCCAGCUUCCUCAAGAGAAGAAUUCAGCCCUUGCAAAAGCGGGCGCACUUGGGUGGGGAGUACUCAGGUUUUAAUGACCCGUCCCGUAUGUCUCCGGAUGAUAUUUCUGAUGAUGAUGUUGAGGCACUGUUGGCCAAGUUCUUUAGGAAUUAUCAAGGAGUACUAGUUAUUCCUUCAACGCUUCGUCAGUUUGAUGCUUGGUAUCAGCCAGAAGUGGUAUGGUCUUUCACUUUGAGUUGUACUUUUUGAACUGUUCGGGAUAUUGUUUGAGUGUCGACUUGCUUUUGUAGUCCCGAGUUCUUACUGGCUACUUGGUGUAGUCGGAAGAAGAAGAAUCUGUUGUUGAGGAGUCAGAGGACGAGCCCUCUCCUCCUGUGAAGAAACGCUGAGUAGUCCGCAAGAUGUCUGCUGCUAAGUCUACCACGACUUCUCCUGAGAAGUCUCGGGGUGCCAAGGUAUGUAGCUGUGUACUCACUUGUAGCUGACGGAUUUUAACUUGUAAUCUUUGAUCACUUUAUCUGUCUUCAAAAGGCUGACGACGCGGCGCUUGGUGACGAUGAGGCUGCUUCGGAUGAAGUAGUCAUGAGCGCCUAGGGUGUUGAUGUUGUGUCUGUUGAGAAGGUACUAGGGAAGGUGCCACCAACAGAUGCUGGAGUAGCCCCCGAGCUGACAGUCCAAGCUCCAUCGGCUACCGCGCUGCCGGUCCCAGACCAGGCAGUCCUGGGUUUGCCUGCUGGAGUGGCGGACGAUGUUGGGAAAGGAGUAUCACCAGUAGUUGCUACUGGUUCUUUGUCGUCCAAGGUGAUUGCUAGUGGUGAGCUUUCUUUCCCGACUGGUUUCGUUAGUCUGAGUUGUAUUUUAGUCUUGACCCUGUGUUUCCCAGGUCUUGGCGAGAAGACAGAGCCAGCAGCUGCUCCCGUGGCGUCGAGUACUCGGCCACCUGUUGCCGAGAAGAAGCGUGUGCGAUUGCCGCCACGAUCAACUCGGUGAGCUGUUUAUCCUUGGUGUGUAUCUUCAAGGUUUCUUCAAGUCGUGUAAUGACUUUGUAUUUUGAUGUAGGGAUGCGGAGGAGACUAUCCCUGUGGAGGCAAGAGUAGAUUCGUGUCCCCCGACUACUCUUUCUGCUCCUUUUGAGGAUUUGACUGUCGACAAAGUAUCCGGAGUUGAUGCUAGUCAUCUUGGAGCGUCCAUGUCUAUGCUUCAAGAAGUGAUCCGCUCGGUGGAAGAUCCCCCUGCUGCCUCGGGUUCUAGGAAUGUAUCCUUGUCAGCGUCUACUGGCGGAGAUUUGGCUGUAAUUGAUGCAGGGAAAUCUAAGGAACCAGCUACCCUAGGUAUGUAUCCGCAGUCUUGGUAUUGUAUUCGUAGUAUUGAGGUGGCUGAUGUUAAUCUCUUAGGUACUGCCUUGGGUGCAGCUCCUCAUCUUGCGAAGAGUACUCAAGGUCCAGUAAUCGGGCUCCCGUCUGAGUCAGAGUUCCAGAGAGCUGUCAAUGUUUUUCAAAGCUUCCAGGUGUGUUUUAUUUACUUAUCUAACAGGUUUAGUAACUAGGGGAGUUGACCGUUUGCUUUGCUGUGUAGGAUCUGUAUGACCAAAUGCAAAGGAACACUCGGGCCCUUCAGGAGCGGAACGAGCAAUUGGAGCAGGAGUGUGUCCGACUUGCGGAAUCCUUGAGGGUUCAUGAAGCUGGAGGGAAAUCCUUUGCUGUGGAGCGGUCAGAUCACGAAGUCUUACAGCAAAAGCUAGAGAGCCGCUACAAGUCUUUGAAUAAAAAGUAUCAAGGUGAGUACUUUUCAUGUUCUGGGUAUGUCCGACUAUUGUCGGUUGUGUUUGAACUUGGCCGUUUUUGCAGAACUCAAGAGGAAGGAGGCUACUGCAAGUAGCCAACUCCUUGAUUGGAGAAACUCGCAUGACCGAGUAGCGGAUGAAGCUGAACAUCUUCAAGCCGCGCUGACAGAGGCACAGGCUGCCUGCGAGCAUCAACGGGAUAGGAAGAUCCAGAAUGGAGUGAUGCUUGCUAUGGCCAUAGUGGUGUGCAGAGACCAUGCCCAGACCGUUGGAAGAUUUUGAAGCGAGCUCCAAGAGUUAACUGAUGCCGCUCAAGACUUGGUGAACGCCAUUGCCCCCUUAGAAGAGGAUGCAGGACCUCAAUCACUAGUCGAGCGCUUCAAGGCUGCUCCGGGUAAGGUGGCAGGCCUCUGCAAGGCUGUUUGCAAAUAGCUCCUUGCUAUGGUAAGGUCAUACUACCCAAGGGCAUAUUUUUCAACGGCUGGUGACAGCGUUGCUCGCAAUUGCACAGAGAAAGCCUAUGCGCAGUACCUCGAGGAGGCGGAACCAAUCGCGUCGAAGAUGUCAGAAUUUGUAUCUCUGGAGGAGCCUUGAGCGUUUAUGUACUCUUGUAAACUUUCGAGUACUUUGAAUGAUAUUGUGUCUGAGAGUUGAACACUUGUCUAUACUUUGUUGUUUGAAGUGGGUCUGACCCAUCAUGGGUAAGGAACGUUUUACUCUAUCUCACCUGACCCAAGGUCCCAUGGAUAGACACGCCCGACCCUAUGAGGAUGGAACUCCGCCUUGCCCGACCCCUUGCCGUAAGGCUUCAUAUCGCCCGACCUCGGGUGUAGGGAGUCGGACUCAACUGGGCCCCCAGGACAAGGAUCCGCUACAGGCACAACCCAGGUUUUGGCAGAAGUUGUUCUGAGGAUUGAGUUUGAGUAGUCACGAUGUAGUCGAGUAACCUUGUUAUUCUGUGAAUAGGAGGUGCACGGGUGUACUGUACUCUUUUGUCCUUCGUGGCAUGAAUGCUUUCACGUGGGCAGUCAGAGAUCAUCCAGACUCAUCGAUCACGGGCGCAUAGUAAAUUCUGGGUGGUUGAUGGUUGCAGCCCUUGGCUAUAAAUAGACCCUCCUGGAGGUCGACCCUGAAUCAAGCUUUGAGUAGCGCUAGAUUGCCUUCGGUUGCUGUUGUUUGAGUGUAGAGAGCCUUCAAAGAGUACACCGGUGCUAGAAGAUUCCUCGUAGGUCCCUGCACAGACUCUAGCGCUCAUAGGGAUAGCUGCGAUGCUAGAAGAAUCCUCGUAGGAGGUUUCAUCGCUGUCGUUUUGGAGUAGCUUUGGGAUCAACAUUUAGAGAGUGUUCGAUCAGCUCCUUGGGCACACCGGGCAUGUCAGCUGGUUUCCAAGUGAUGAUAUCGUGGUUAGCCCAAAGGAAACUGAUGAGCACGGAUUCCUAUUUAGGAUCUAGCCCUGUUCCAAUCAGGGCUGUCUUGGAGGAGUCACCCGUCUGGAGAUCGACUGGUUUGAAGUCUUGCUUGCUUGCGGGUUUCACCUUUGUAGACCCCGACUUGUUUUCUGGGAUCUCGAGUUCGGUUAGAUGGAGUUUCUUUGAAGCUGUGAAGACUUAUUGCAUGGGACUAGGUGUUUGAGAAGUCGCAGCGAUCUCCACGGCUUUAGUGUCGCAUUCAUAGGAUCACCGUAGAUCUCCCCGUAGCGUUAGUUCUCCCUUGGGACCUGGUAUUUUGAGUACCAAGUAAACGUAAUGUGGUAUAGCCAUGAACUUGGCGAGUGCUAGCCUUCCGAGUAUGGUGUGGUAGGAUGUCUCGAAAUCGGCGACUUCAAAUAUGAUAUAUUCGGUGCGGUAGUGUUCCUUAGUUCCAAAGGUAACUGGGAGGACAACUUGUCCAAGUGGUAUAGCUGCAUUUCCAGGUACGAUGCCAUAGAAGGGUGAAUCUGUUGGGGUCAACAUUUCUGUGACGUCGAGGCACAUCUUUCUUAGUGUUUUGGCGAAAAUGACAUGGAGUCCACUUCCACCAUCGAUGAGUACCUUUGUCAGCUUUGACCCUGCCACAAUGGGAUCGAGUACUAGAGGGAAUCGGCCUGGUUCUGAGAAUUUUGUCCACUGGUCUUUUCUGCUGAAGGAUAUGGGUACUUCGAACCAUUUAAGUGGUGUUGGAUCUAUUGGCUCGAUGGCCAUGAUUUUCCUGAGUACGAGUUUGUUGGCUCGCUUGGAUGCAGUGCCUGGGAUUCCGCCAAACAUGACGUUGACUGUCUUGGAGGCGGUCUGGAAGUCGCCUUCUUCUUCGUCGUUGUGGUUGUUCUUGCCCUUGUCCUUUUUCUUGUUGUAUUCUUCAGGGGGUGGUGGUGUGGGUAAGUCUUGCAUGACUUGACGCAUGCUGUAGCAAUCUAUUGCCGAGUGCUUGCUAGUCGGGUGCCAUGGGCACUGCUUUUUGAGUAGCUUGGUGAAGGUUGGCCCUUCAUCGUUUUUACGGGAUCCCUUUUUCCCGGAGUUGGUCAUGGCAGCAACGGUGUUGUCGGGCUUCCUUUUGCGAUUCUGAUUACUCGAAAAGUUAUUUCAAGUAUCAUUGUGCUGAGUUCUAUCUUGGUCAUUGUUGUUGUCGCGUCCUCGGUUGCGAUGAGAGCCAAACCAUUCACGCUCUUUGUCUUCUUCAUCCGCCCACUAUUGCACCAUGACUUUGAGGUCUUUGACGUUAGCUGGUCAUCAUUGACCGAAGUCUUGGUAUGUUCGCCGAUCAUAGGGUCCGUUCUGGAAACACUCGAUGACGUCUGUUUCUGAAAUGUCAACUAUAGUUGCCUUCUUUUCGAAGAAUCAUCUCAAGUAGUCGCGUAAGCUUUCACCUUCUUUCUGCUUUAUUUGACUCAAGUGGAUCUUGUUGCCUGGUCUAGCCAUGGAGCCAGCAUAGUUGUUGGUGAAAGCCUUUGUCAAAUCUGCCCAAGAGUCAAUUGACUUGGGUUUGAGUGACUCAAGCCACGUCAGUGGUUCGGGUUCCAUGCAUAUGGGAAAGUGGAUGACUUUGGUGUCGUUAUUGCCCCAAGCUGCUUGAACUGCUAGCGAGUAGCAUCGUAGCCAUUGAAUUGGGUCUUGUUUGCCAUCAUACUUGGUGAUUCCUGUUAGCUUCAACUUCUUGGGUAGUCUUGUCUUCAUUACCCUAUUUGUGAAAGCAGGAAAGUGGUUGUAGUUGUCGACUUCUCGCUCACGCCAACUGUUGAGUAUUUCUCGUAGAUCACUAAAGUUUGACACUUCGUGUUUCUUCUGAGUAGGGUGAAUACUUUUGUUGGCGCUAGAAAUCAGCCGAUUGAAUCUCUAGCGUCGGACACACGACCCGGGAGAAUCUACUUAACUCCUGUUCCGGUGAUCGCCCUGGUGCGGUUCGCGCGACGUGCCAGCCAAUCUGACCUAUUGAUUGGCACGGAAAGAAACGUGUCAGGUCCUAGAGGUUGCGAUCGGCUAAGGUUCCGAUCUUGAGAGAGCUUAUCAGCGAAUGGGUCGAUUUGCUGUAAUAAAGGAAUCGGCUAUAAUACAGCCGAUUACCAGGCAACAUUGGUAAAGAAAACUGCUAAGAGUAAACUAAACAACGCUACAGUAGCAACACUAGGAAUAGAUCUUAAUCGGCUAUGCAAAAAGUAGUAAAUUGAGCAAUAAGAUAUAAAAAAGCCGACAGUACUAAUUCCAAGCUGGAUAACUGGUGAUAAAACUAGAACAACAGGAAAAACCUAGAAUUCUAGUGAUUAUCGAUAACUGGUGAAUAAAUCUAAACGAAACGACAGCAAUGUGCCCGAAGUUAAAGCUUAGAUAUUACUCGAUAAGAGGAACUUACAGAAUCGGCCGGAGAUCAAGUUGAUGCAGCCCCGCCAACCCGUACGAACUCGUGAAAAGAAGAAAAGUAUUGGCGAAGUCGCCUGCUCGAAAGUAAAGUGCGAGGAAAUAGUAGUUUGUUGUAUUGAUUUGAUGAUGAUUACAGAUCUAUGAAAGCGGCUAUUUAUAGCCAGUUGCAACCAAUCUCUUAACUGACUAGGACUCUAUCUCUAAUUUUAAAUGAAAACAAAUAUUUACAAGCAUAAUUCUUAUCGGAGUUGGUCAUCGUGUUCCCACGGGCCGAUCUCCUUUUUAUCUUCAUAGCUCACUUUAGGCCCAUAUUGGCCCAACUGCUCCAACCUCCCAAUCGGCCAAUUUUCACCAAGUCCAUCCGCCGAAAUACUACAGCACCAAUCGGCCGAUCCUCAAUUGUAGCACCAAUCGGCCGAUUCCCAAUCGUGACCUCCGUGUUUCGCCGCAUAAGUUGAUUCCUUCCCUUCUUGACGUCGAUUUCAUAUGUGUAAAAAUCUGGCGUCAACACAUGCCCCCCAGUUUCGGAGUAAAACAUAAUCUUUACUUCGAAAUUCCUUUCAACUUCCCUUCCGAAACAAUUGCAUUGAAAAUACACUUUCGUUUCGCGGUCUUCUGCCUGAUGAUUGCAAUCUUUUCGAAAUGGGCGCCCACGACAACCACUCCUCCCAAAAAAAUCGAACCGUCGGCGUGGUAAAAAUUCCGCUUUUACCCUUUCUCAGACCGCCCUUAGAUAUCAGUACGUCCCGUACUUCUUCUUCACGAGCCCACGUCUUCCUUCUUUGGCGCACUGGCCUCCUUCUUCCGGCGUCUCUUUAGCCUCUAACCUCUCACUUCGGCGAGUUCUUCCAUCUACAUUCCACCCCACCUUCUCGAUGGCGACACCUUCAGGCACUCCACCAACAUCCGAGGUCCUGGAGACGGCUCCAUCAGCAGUGGCUCCAACAGCAAUGGCGGCAGCUCCAUUGGCAGGAGCAGGAGCUCCAUCGGGCGGGAGCGGGAGCUUCAUCGACGACCACAAUGAGCUUCAUACCAGAGGUUUCUACCAAAACUUUCCUUUCCGCUCCUCUAUGUCGAUGCAUUUACCUUAGAUCUGUUCUUACUUCCCCUUCCAUUCUUUACCUGUUUAGGCGGUUAGGCACAAGAUUACUAUUCGCCUCACCGAAACUCCCGGCCUUAUCUGUCUUGGUCCCAUGGGAAACAUAGAUACAACCGACCUAAUCAAUUUGGAAACCCAUAGGAUCCCUUUCAAGCAAUCAACCAUGGACCUAGAUCACUGGUCAGGUACCUUCAGAUCAUGGCCGAAUGAAACCCCCAGCUGGAGGGAAUGGUACCAAUGGAUAGCCGCCUUAAAAAGAGUUCAAUGGGACGAGCCUUUAGUAAUAGCAGCCUUAUCUUUGUCCCAAAUGGAAAGGAAUGAGCCUUUAGUAAUAGCAGCCUCCUACUUUUGGUCUGAUGCCCUCAACGCAUUCCUCUUAGGACACGGACCUAUGACCCCUACCCUGGCCGAUGUGGUCAUGUGGAUCGGCCUUGAUAUCUCCUCUCCCGAUACUCCUUUCCGUUACUUGGCCAAAACAUCCCAUCGGCUGGAGACGAAAGGAAUCGGCGGGUGGAAAGGAUUCAUCAAGUGCAACAGAAGGGCCGGGACAGUCCAGGAAAGAGAGCAUGCGGCCUUCUUGAUGAUGUGGCUAGAGAAACACCUUUUUUGCGGGAGGGCAGCCGGUCCAUCCACUAACACACAGGCUCUGGCCGAGACACUAUCGAUAGGGGCCUCUGUUCCUCUUGGAAAGCACCUAUUGGGAUCGGUUUACCAUAUGUUGCAUCAGAUCGGCGUCAAGCUAUCCAAAGGAGAGCCGAUUGGAAACCCAGGUGGACCCUGGUGGUUCAUCAACUUGUGGCUUAAUCUGUAUAUUAGCAAGAUCUCCCAGCAGCGAGUGGAGUACAUGACGUUCCCAAACAUCGAAUCGGCAGAGAAUCCCACUGUACGGCGCCGGUGUACUUCCUUCGGUGAAGCGGCAUCGGCCUUCUCCGGUUUCUCAUAUUCUGUUGCCAAGGUGGCCGAAUACUUCAGAUGCUUCUACAAUGGCUUUAGUGAAGACGCAACCAGCUGGUUCCCUUAUCAAAGGGAGGAACCACUCUUCGAGCUCCCGUCCUGUUUUGACUCGGCCACCAGCAAAUUUGAUGAGGACCUCACAGAUGAAUUGAUCAAGCCGGGGAUCCUGCCGGCGAACUUCUUCUCGGGGAAGGAUGCCCCCACUUAUGAGUUUUACCAUCCUUCCGUCACAGCACGGCAAUUCGGCUUGGGUCAACUGCCGAUUUAUGCAUACUUCACCGGCCGAGCAAAAUUUCGAGACGAGCUCACCAAAGGUCUCCACUACUACGAUCGGAUUCUAGACUCCAGCACCAUAGACUUGGCCAGUUGGAUAGUAGCCCCUUUCGCUGUUCAGCAGUUCAAGCUAUGGUGGGUGGAAUGGAAGCAACAUCUAUUCUGCGCCUCUACGGCGAUAUAUUGUAAUCUCCUGAAUCCCGACAACAUCGAUCCGAAUGCCGAGGUAUCGCUCUCUUUCUGGCUGAUUUUCAACUCCUUUUUUUUUAUACUGACUCUUAUUAUUAUUUCAGUCUGAGAGCCAUGCUCCCCCAAAAUGCAGUCGGAGUGGUCGGUCGAUAGAGGACCGUUAUCCAUACACAGCAUUCCCCCUCAUCGGCUAUCACGCCCCCUCCGUUGAUGACAUAGCCGGCCGAGCGAAGCAAGCGCAGAAAAAGAUUAUCAAGAAGACAAGUCGCCGAGUACGCGCCCGCACAGAAUCGGCCGAUCCACCCGUGGUUGCAUCGGCGGAAAUUUCGGCUGCGCCGACCCUUCCAGUCGCUGAAGAAUUUGACCUCCAAGCUGCUACAGAGGCCGGAGCAGCUGCCGCGUCAUUAUGGGUGGAAGCUAUUCAGGUAAACUCACCAUCCAAUUUUCCUAACAGUCAUUUCAAUACUGUCCUUUCCUUUAUUAGGCCGCGCAGACUCCCUCAGCAGAUCCACAGCAAUCUGCAAUGCCCCAAGCAGAAGUUGAAAUACCAGUGCCCCUUCCCGUUGAGGUACAUGAUCUCUCAACUCAAUUCUUUAAUAUUUGAAUGAUGAUCCUACCAACCUUGAUGCAAGUCAUCGGCACAUUAACUAUGCUAUCCGACUAGCCAUCUGCCAGAGAAGUCCUUCAAGAGGCCGGCCCGAGCAGAACGCCGAUCGUUGUCGAAUCCUCUUCUUCCGAUGAGCCAAUGGCACCAGUCCCCGAGUCGAGAGUGGCUGUUCCGCAAACACAGAUGGAGGAGAUCCGUUUCAAAGAGGUGAGAAGUCAUUUGACCCGCAUUGACCGAUUCAUCACCACCAUCGGCUGACUCAUUUUCCUUUUAUUUAUCAUUCACAGGAACAGGACACUCCCAAUAAUAGCCUCUUCUCAUUUGCGGUCGCGCUCUCUGAUGACGAGGAAGUUUCUUCUUGUCAAGUUACUUUGAGCUCCAUCCCCGAUGAUGUCCGCACUAAGCUCGAAAGUAUAUGGUCCCUUCUUCAAGAGGACAUCGGCCGAUUGGUGGAGGACGCCUCGCCGAUUUGGCAGCUCUUUGGUGAUGUCAGCGGGCAAGUCCCAGAGGAAGCAGAAGAAGCCUUAGCGCCGGCCGCUUAUAUCGAGUCGAUGCGGAUCCCGAUCUUCAGGGCUCUGCGUCACAUGGCUGAUAGCGCCAAGCUGGCUAAGACUCAUGAGGAAGAGGACUCGUACAAGCAUCGGGCCCAGGAGGUACACCAUCGGAUUCACUUCCUCGAGAAUUCCCGACCCGGACUCGUCGGCACGAUAGAUCGCCUCAAGCGCCGAAGGGCGGAACAUGCCAAGGAGAUGGAGCAGGUAACCAAAGAAAUAGCUAUUGAAGAGAAGAAGCUUCAGGAACUCCCUUCCGUUAUCGCCGAUUUAAAGCAGGAGAGGCAGCAUCUGGCCCAUGAGGCCCUUAGACUCCAUCGCCAUAUGUCAGAAGUUCCAGGGUCGGCAGAUGAUGACCAACGAGUCUUGGACUCGGCCGAUCAGAUCAGAAGUCGAGCGAUUGCAGCCAUUAACGCCCUUCUGGGUGAUCUGUAAAAGUACUGGCCAUUUUGUACGAACAUUAAUGCCUUUUGACUGUCCUUCGUGGCGCUCUCCUAUUUAUUACCCUUUUUACUCUGACAGGACGCAUCUUACCAAACCUCCGCGCUUCCUCUUAUUAUAAAUACCGGCCCUGGUUUCGCUCUUGAGAAUACCUGCUCCACUCUAUUCCUUUUUCCCCGAUUACGUUUCCAUCGGAACGUUCGUAGUCAUGUCUUCUUCGUCUUCUUCUUUCUCCUCGCCUUCUAUCAAUCAGGUACGAGGUCCGUCUCCGCCCUUUUUUCAGUUUGAUCCCUUUAAAUCAUUCCAACUUUUAGGCGGCUAUGUGCUAACUUUUUCAGCCAAGGCACCUUAGCCCUGAACUCGAAUGAGCAAUCAAACUCGUGCACUCUGACGAGUCAUUGUCGCAAGAGAACAAGGACUUGAUCAAGGCACACCGUGAAGAACUCAGAGAUCACGUUCCUGCCGACGUCCAACGGAUCUGGGACUUCAUCGAUGUCAAUGAUUACGGGAGACCGCAAGUUGACAGGAGCCACCCACUUCCUCUUCCGGUUGUUCUUGAAAACGUCGCGGUAGGGACAUCGCACCCGGUGAUGGAUCGGAGCCAUCCUCUUCCUCGCCAAGUUGAGGCGGAGGCCGCGAUGAGAGAUGUGGCAGAACGAAGCAUUCGCCUUCUGAUAGAAUUAGGUAGGAUUGAGAGGGAACUCAAGAAGAAGCGUAGUUGAGUAUUUUUUGUUCUAAGGACGAAGUGUACUGCGUCGGUCGUGUAAUUCAUCGUUCGUACCGAAUCACAAAUCGGCCAAUUUGAACGAUUAUUUUUCUCCUUUAGGCGAUUUCUUCUCCCGUAUCGGCUGUGUGAUCAUUCAGGGAGCGAUCUUUCUGUCUUAUGUUCCGACCCAUAUACUGGGGUAAUACCUUUUCAAGUACCUCCCGUUUAAGGCCCUAGUAAAUUCUUCUCCUUCGAUCAUUUCCAGAAUGUAAGCGUUUCCCAGGGCACAUCGGCCGAUUCUAUACGGCCCUUCCCAAGUGGGAGACCAUUUACCGAAUUUAGGAUCUUUUGAUCCAAUCGGCAACACUAACUUCCAUACUAGAUCCCCUUGGGAGAACUGCUUGACUUUGACCUUCUUGUCAUACCAUCUGGCCACUUUCUUUUUGUUUUCCUUGAUACUGAUCAAGGCUCUCAAACGUUGGCCCGCCAAAUCGUCGAGUUCCCUAUUCAUGAGCGAGGAGUAAUCAUCGGCCGUCAGCUGAUCUUGAAGCGACGUGCGUCUCGACCCUGUUCUCAACUCCCAUGGCAAUACUGCCUCAUGACCGUACACCAAUUGAUAAGGAGACACCUUGGUAGCCCCGUGGCAGGCCAUCCUGUAUGCCCAUAGAGCUUCGGUUAGACAUAAGUGCCAUUUUUUGGGUUGUUCUUCGAUCUUCCUCUUGAUCAACUUGAUUAUCCCUUUAUUGGAAGAUUUGGCCUGGCCGUUAGCCUGAGGAUAGUACGGGGAGGAAUUUAGCAGCUUGAUUCCCAUAUCGGCCGUGAACUCCUCGAACUCUCCCGACGUGAACAUCGUCCCUUGAUCAGUUGUGAUAGUCUGAGGGAUGCCGAAACGAUAGACAAUAUGAUCCCUCACGAAAUCGACCAUAGCGGCCGAUGUUACGGCCUUUAAUGGAACCGCCUCCACCCAUUUGGUGAAAUAAUCUGUGGCUACCAGAAUGAAUUUAUGUCCUUUACUUGACGGAGGAUAAAUUUUUCCAAUGAGGUCUAUUCCCCAACCUCUGAACGGCCACGGCUUGAUAAUUGGAUUCAUAGCCGACGCGGGCGCGCGUUGCACAUUCCCAUAUUUCUGACAAUCUUGGCUUCCUUUAUAAUACUUGAAACAGUCCUUAAGGAUUGUCGGCCAGUAAUAUCCAUUAUUCCUAAUCAUCCACUUCAUCUUAUGCGCCGAUUGGUGGGCUCCACACACCCCUUCGUGCAUUUCUCCCAUCAGGGUCUUUGCCUCCUCCGUCCCUAGGCAUUUGAGUAGAACACCAUCAAUCGUCCGGUAGAACAAAUCAUUUUCCAAUAACACAUAUUUUUGUGGCCUGAAAUCGUAUUCGCCGAUCCACUUUCUUAGAUGGGUCUUUUAAAUAAUCGGCGAUCUCUUUUCGCCAGCCGUCGGCCGCGAGUUCCAGAAUCAUGGCGCCUUGAAUCGGCCGAUACCCGAACGCGUGCUGAGCCAGCCUGUUGGCUUCUUCAUUGUAAUCCCUGGGGAUAUGCUCAAUAACUGUGGAUUUGAAUUCUUUCAGAAGUUGGAGGCAAUCCUCAUAGUAAACCCUUAAUACAUCAUCUUUGCACUCGGAUCUUCCUAUCAAUUGGUCCACGAUGAGCAUGGAAUCUCCAAAAACAUCGAUGGUGUCGGCCUUAAUUUCUCUUAACAAUUGUAACCCUUUCAGGACAGCCCGGUAUUCCGUCUGGUUAUUAGUGGCGGAUGCUUCUAUCGGUAGAGAGAAAUCAUAGCUUGCCCCCUGAGGUGAUAUGAGAACGAUGCCGAUUCCCGAUCCGGCCCCACAUGAUGAGCCAUCAAAAUAUAAGGUCCACGGUACUGGUUCCACGACAGCGAUUUCUGGUCCGCAGUGUUGGGCGACGAAAUCAGCCAUAACCUGACCUUUGAUGGCGUUUGCCGAUUCGUACCGUAGAUCAAACUCUGAUAAAGCCAAAAUCCACUUUCCGAUCCACCCUUUCAAAAUCGGCAAUGACAGCAUAUACUUUACUACGUCAUCCGUGCAUACAACCACGCAUUCUGCUGAUAACAAGUAGUGCCUGAGCUUGGUGCAUGAGAAGUAAAGACAUAAGCACAGCCGCUCUACCGGGGGAUAUCUUGAUUCGGCGUCCAAAAGUCUUCUACUAACAUAAUAUAUUACCCGUUCCUUUCCUUCGAACUCCUAGACUAGUGCCGAUCCGAUAGCUCGCUCAUCGGCCGAUAAAUACAGCUUGAAUGGCUUACCAGUUUCUGGUGGGACCAAGUACUGCUUGAUGUCUUCUAGUGCCUUGCGUUGCUCUUCUCCCCAUACAAACUCUUGGUUGGGUUUCAAUUUCAACAACGGUGUGAAGGCCUGGAUACGUCCGGAUAGGUUGGAUAUGAACCAGGCAACGUUGGUAAAGAAAACUGCUAAGAGUAAACUAAACAACGCUACAGUAGCAACACUAGGAACAGAUCUUAAUCGGCUAUGCAAAAAGUAGUAAAUUGAGCAAUAAGAUAUAAAAAAGCCGACAGUCCUAAUUCCAAGCUGGAUAACUGGUGAUAAAACUAGAACAAUAGGCAAAACCUAGAAUUCAAGUGAUUAUCGAUAACUAGUGAAUAAAUCUAAACGAAACGGCAGCAAUGCGCCCGAAGUUAAAGCUUAGAUAUUACUCGAUAUGCGGAACUUACAGAAUCAGCCGGAGAUCAAGUUGAUGCAGCCCCGCCAACCCGUACAAACUCAUGAAAAGAAGAAAAGUAUUGGCGAAGUCGCCUGCUCGAAAGUAAAGUGCGAGGAAAUAGUAGUUUGUUGUAUUGAUUUGAUGAUGAUUACAGAUCUAUGAAAGCGGCUAUUUAUAGCCUGUUACAACCAAUCUCUUAACCGACUAGAACUCUAUCUCUAAUUUUAAACGAAAAUGAAUAUUUACAAGCAUAAUUCCUAUCGGAGUUGGUCAUCGUGUUCCCAUGGGCCGAUCUCCUUUUUAUCUUCAUAGCUCACUUUAGGCCCAUAUUGGCCCAACUGCUCCAGCCUCCCAAUCGGCCGAUUUCCACCAACUCCAUCCGCCGAAAUACUGCAGCACCAAUCGGCCGAUUCCCAAUCGUGACCUCCGUGUUUCGCCGCAUCAGCUGAUUCCUUCCCUUCUUGACGCCGAUUUCAUAUGUGUCAAAAUCUGGCGUCAACACAUACAUAAUGAUGGUAUUGUUCCUACUUUCAGGAUGAGGUAUUUACUAUUGAAGCAACAAUAAAUGAAAUUAAUGCAACAUAUGGUUGGUACUACAUCUCAUGUAGUAGAGGCGAUUGUAAGAAGUAACUUGAAAAGAUGUUUGAUCACUACUAUUGCAAUAAAUGUGACAAGAGAGCCUAACCUAAAGCACGGUAAAUUAGUUAGUAGUUUACAAUCUUAUUAUAGUACUUCUAUUUCUAAUAGGAGAAUAAUAUUUGCAGAUUCAAAAUUAAGCUUCAAAUAAGUGAUCCAACAGCAAGUGCAACUUGUGUACUUUUGACAAGGAAGCAGAAAUGAUAAUUAAUGAAUGAGCAGAUUCGAUGAUCACCUCAGUUGAUCAUGAUAAUAAGUAGCUACCAAAAUCAAUUCAGAAAAUAUGUGAAGAAACAUUGAUUUUUCAAUUCAGAUUGACCGAGUACAACUUGACAAGUUUUAGACCUGAUUAUACUGUUUCAAAGAUAUUUUUUCCAAAAGAGAAGAGCAGUUCUAGAAUUGGUAUGGAAAGUGUAAAAAAGGUAACACUUUAUUAUUAAGUUUUUAUUGCACUUUUUUCUUUUGAAUCCUUAAUAUUUAAUAAUUUUACUAUAUCAAUGAAACAAAUUCUAACCUAAAUUUACAACUCAAACAAAUGCUACAUGAUAACUACCGAGAAUGAAGAGGUAGACACUGAUGACUCUUUUACCAAGAAAGUAACAUUCGUAGAAGAAGCCAUAAGGACUGGGGAAAGAUUGGCUAGAAAAGUAUACUCACUUCCAUCUCAGUAUUCAUUCUGUUUACAAUACAUGCAAAAAAAUAUUAUUCAUGCAAAAUUGCAGGUCUACUAAGCAUUAAAGGAAUAGCGGAUAGUGCAAUAUCUAAUUUGAGCAGCAUGCAUUACAAAGUGCUCUACUGCAAUUAAAUUAAAAAACAUGAUAUAUGUUGAAUUCUUAGACUUUAUUAUUAUACUUUUCUAUGUGACAAUUCACAAUUUUUUAGAAAAUAGAAGAUCCCAGAAGAAGUGAUCAUGAAAAAAGGUCUAUGCCCAGCAAUAAGAAAAAAAUGCAAGCAUAGAAACAAAUCCGUAGAAAACAUAGAAAAUAAGGUACUCCAUAAACAAAAGUAUUCUCUUAUAUUUUUAUUAAAUAUUUCUUUAACACUUGACAAGUUCUUUUUUAGGAUCAAUAUAUCAGCAAUUCAGAUGUCAUUGGAGAUGAAAACCUUAGUUCGUCCAAAAGGUCAAAAAAAACAUCUGAAGAAAGGUGUUUGGCUGAAAAGGAAAAGCAAGAAAGUUGUAAUGCAGACAAACACAUGCAGAAAAAUAUAAAAACAUGUAAUAGGGAGGCAGACCAAUCUUGCAAUGAGGUAUAGAUAAAACGUGAUACACGACCUGCCUACCUUGUCGUGGAUACCCCAAGAAGAUGUCGUAGAGGUGCAGACCAAGCUAGCAAGGAGGUCGAAACGUGAUACACGGCCUGCCUACCUUGCCGUGGAUAUUAGCCCUAAGAUCAUUCUACUGUUCAAGGAAUAACACUCAAUGCUGCUGCUGCUGCUGACCUGGCUCCAUAAAGUUAUACUCCUCUAGGUGCUUGCACUAACUUUAUCUGAAGUAUUAUUCUCUCUGCACUGUAUAUAUGGUUAUGGAGUUUGCUGGAGUAUCCGGGGGGAAGAACCUACAUAAUACGUCUUGGAACUAACUGACAUUGAUUCACAGACAAACUCUACAAGGUGCUGUUGUUGCCAUUUUAGAGCAUCCAAAGGACUAUAAAUAACAUAGUUUACCAUAUACCAUAUACCAUAAUAUGUUAGCUAAAAUAAGAGCAUACACAUGUUGCAGGAGUCCAAAAGCACCGGUUGAGGACCAGGUACAUUGAAUUACUAGAAAAAGACAGGGGACAAGGUUUAGGUAACCACAUGAAACAUUUGAAUUUACUGUACCAUGAACACUUAGUUACCAUGCUGGGAGCACAUAGUUAACACUAACAUUUAGCCACUUUAGAUCAUCCCGAAUCACCAAUGACCCUCAAUAGUGACAAAUUUUGGUUUAAAUGCCGUCACCAAUGAUCCUCAAUAGUGACGUAUUUAGGUUUAAAUCCCAUCACUAAUAACCCUCAAUAGUGACCUGUUUUGGUUUAAAUCUCAUUACCACUUAUCCUCAAUAGUGACGUGUUAAAACACGUUAUCUCAAUGGCAAAUCAUUGGUGACGUGUUUUAAAAAAACAUGGCACUGUGAGAGUCAUUGGUGAAGGGUAAUUAAAAUGCGUCACUAAUGUUGUAGCAUUAGUUAUGAUAAUUUAGUAAUGCAAAAAUCUACCAUCAGUAAUGAGCUUUAGAGCCAUCGCUAAUGUGGGUUUCUUACAUAGUGAUGCAAGCUCUACAAGGUGCUGUUGCUGCCAUUUUAAAGCAUCCUAUGACUACAUGUUAAUAACAUACUUUACCAUAUACCAUAAAAAUAUUAGUUACAAUAAGCACAUACGCAUGUGGAAGAGUCCGAAUGCACCGGUUGAGGACUAAACACAUUUAAUUACUAGAACCAAAUGUAUGUCCAGAACAAAGACAGGGGUCAAGGUUUGGGUAACCGCAUUAAAAACAUUGGAUUUUACUGUACAUGAACACUUAGUUACCAUUACCAUGCCUUGAGCACCUAGUUACAACAAACAUUAAUUUAGCCACUUUAGAGCUUCCAGAAUCGCUAUAAAUAAUAUACAUACGCCGUACCAUGAAAACAUCAAGAAGAGAGACGGAUACAUGGACCACCAUCAAGCGAGUACUGACAGCACGCACAAGAAUACCCAGAACCUGUUAGCUUGUCUGUAGUGAUCUGUUUUCUUCCCCAUAAAAUCCAUGAGUAUUGCCACAAAUAAUGAAAGAGGCUGACCAAGCUAGCAAGGAGGUAGAGCAAACGUGAUACACGGCCUGCCAAGAUUGCCCUGGAUACGCCAAUAAGAGCGACAGAUACAUGGAUCACACCAAUAUGGUGAAACGUAUAUUCAUCACACAAGCAAAGCUGGUCAGUUUAUCCAUGGUCAAAUUGUGGUCUUUGUUUUCACUUGAGAGCUAAUUGAGGCACUAUAAUAUGGGCAGGCCUAUCUUCAACAGACAUGACAGCUACAGGGAACUUGACAUAAUUUGCUGGACCGCCUGUGCACAAUUAUUUGUUUUAUUGUCCUUGCAUAGAAUGCUAAAAUACUCUUUACAAAAUGUUGGAUCUAAUAUUUGAAAUAUAGAGUAGUAAUCAUAUAUUGAUCAACAACUUGAAAUUAUCUGUACAUUCUCGGUGAAGCUGUUGAACUAAUUUUUGCAAAUUAUUAAUUAAUUCAUCUCAUUACGUAAAGAAAACAGUAAGUGGAUAAGAUAUUUCGUGGACCACAUCACUGCAAACAUGUCAUGGAGAGACAGACCAAGGAGGCAGGACGUGAUACACGACUUACCCUAGGUUGCCGUGGAACCGCCAAGAAGAGAUACAGAUACAUGGACCACACCAUCUUGGGAGUAGUGACAGCAUAUAUGCAGAAGAAUACCCCGUGCCUAUUUGCAUGCAUGUCUCAAGUGAUCUGUUUUCUUCAGAAAAUACAUGAGCAUUGCCAGAAAGAAUGGCAAGAGACAAACAUGUCGUAGAGACUUGCAUGUCUUGCCUUGGAUACGCCAAGAAGAGGGACACAUACAUGGAUAACACAAAUCUAGUGACACGUAUAUUCAUCACAAAGGCAAAUCUGAUAAUUUUAUCCAUGGAGCAGACCAAGGAGAAAUUGAUGACGGACAUGUGAUCUCUGUAUUCAGUUGAAAGCUAAUUGAGCUACACUAAUAUGAGCAGGACUAUAUUCAAGAGACUUGUUGAGAGCUACAGGGAACUUGUAAUAAUUUGCUGGGCGGCCUGCGCACAAUGAUUUGUUAUACAUAGUUGAAAUAUUUCAAGAAUUUAUCAACCUCGUACUCUGAAACCCUUGGUGCAAUGUACUCUGCUUUCCGAGGUAGACUGUUCACGUAAAAUGAGGUCAUGCGUAAGACGGAAUCGGAUUGGAUUCGCAGGGAAUCAGAUUUGGAUAGCACCUUUUAGCAGGUUUUUAGUCAAAUGCAAAUUCGGAUCCAGAUAUGGUUGAAUGCGAGUUCAAAAUUCUACUUGGAUAUCCAUUUAAUUUAGGUGAUAGCAAUUAGCACAAAAUGUUGGAAGAACAAAAUCAUAGUUAGACAUACAAUUACAUGUAUUGUUAAAGUAUAAUACAAUACACCAAGAUUAUUCCUUGAAAAUAUUUCUUAAAAAUAUUAUAAUAAAUGAAUACCACCAACAAAUAGUCGGUGGUCACUAAGUUGGAGCCAUUUCUGGUUACUAAUGCGGCCUGCUCCUCGACCAGCGACGACAGCUGAGCUUGUUCCUUCUGACACCAAAUCAUCAGAGUUUUCCCUCCACUACUAUAGAAUGCACCUUUAGCACCAAUUGGGAAAUCUCCUUCAGUAUCGGAUGCUGCAACCUAUGCUAUGAAAAUGGAGACUAAAAGCCUCGGUCUUGGGUACCGGUUGCAUGACGCAUUACUAAAGGAGGCAAAAGAGAAAUGUAACAAAAAAAUAUUUUGAAUUCCAAGAAUGUUUCACUAUUCAAGAUGACUAGCUGAGAGUCAUCAGACAAGAUACUAGGAACGUGGGUGCUUGAAUGCCAGGUGCUGGAGCGCGGCGAGGCAGUCGUCGUAGCCCGCCGGGAGCGGGUGCUCGGGCGCGAGGUGGUACUCGACGGAGACACCGAGCGUUGGGCGCGCGGCGGCGAGCGCGUUGAGGAAGUGAUCGUAGUGUGGCGACGUCGCGGACUCCGCCACGAAGCCGCCGCCGUGGAUGUACACCACCACGGGCAGCUUCGUCUUGCCGUCAGCGGCCACGGCCGCGGCCUAGGGUGGCAGGUAGAGGCGGAUGGAGCAGGAGCCGAGGUCGACGUCCCCGGAGUCGACGCCCGUGGCGGCGUCCAGGCCGGGCCUGACCGGCGGCGGCACGAGCGACGCGGCCGCUCUUGUAAAUCCAGCAGGUCUGUGCGGAGGCGGGCGGCGGGUGGGAGCGGCGGCGGGUGGUGCGGAGGCCGGCGGCGGCGGGUGGCGCGGAGGAAGGGGAGCUGGUGAGUGGUGACAGGGGAGGGGGGAGAGAGAGAGGGGGGUAGGGUGCAUUGAAUGAGGGCAGGAGGUGUAAAGUGCACCUUUUAGUCCCCAUAAACAACCAUAAGCAUCCCAAGAGUUGCUUAUUUACUUAUAAUAAGCAACCCCAUAAGCAAGAGUGAUUGGUUUCAUAAGCAACUUAUUUGCUUAUUUUAAGUUGCUUAUGCAUAAGCAUGUGAAACCAAACAGGCCCUUAACCUAUGGUUGUGGCACACAACCAUACAGUAGAUAGUAUUUAAUAAUGCUAUUCGUUUGGUAUGUGCAGAAGGGCACGCAUGAAAUGUCUGGCCCACGGUAAACAAGUACGGACGCUGCAAAUAAUCUACUCUGCUCGUCCAGUCCCUAGCCUAUAAAUAGAUGCCAUGCUAGCUCUUGUUGUGCUCACAAUUAAUCCGAUUACACACGAGCUUCUCUCCCUGGCCAAGACACAAUCAUAGUAUGAUGAAGAACAUGGCACUAGCCGGCAAUGGUAUGAAGAAGUUAAUCCUCGCUGUUCUCUUACUGUGUCUAGUUAUAGGGCAGAUACAAGUGGAAGCUAAGAGCUGCUGCCCAUCCACCACUGCAAGAAAUAUCUACAAUACCUGCCGUAUCACGGGUACAUCCCGUCCAACGUGUGCAAAACUGUCAGGCUGCAAAAUUAUCAGCGGGGACAAAUGCAAGCCCCCUAACGACCACCUCACCCUUGACCCGGACACUGGUAAAUAAUAAAUUUAUCUCACUUGAUUUCUUUGUGUUUUGAGUCGUUAAUGUAUUUUCCAUCUGAUGAAACGUAUUGGUUUUGCAUUGAAGAGGAAGUUAAUGUGCUUAACUUCUGCAAGUUGGGGUGUGCGUCGUCUGUGUGCAACAACAUCAACGCUGGUAAGCACCUUUUGCUCAGACAGAGAAAACAAUAAUCAUUAAUUAGCGGCAGCUAGAAUCCUAUAAUCUAAUAUAUAUAUAUAUAAUUUUAUCAGCUCUGGGAAAUGAAGAGGCGAACGAUGCCGUUGAGAGUUGCGACCAAGC